CGCGGUGGGCUGCAGCGGUUUGAGGCACCUGGGUUGGCGGUGGGGGGCUGUGGGGGGGAGGCGUGGAGGGUGCCUUGAUAAUACUUUUCGGGGCAGGCGAGGAGAACAAAUCAAAGUGCGGUAGCUGAGAAGCGCUGAGAUGCCACCGACUUGUGAACCGUAUCCGUGGGAACCCCGACGGGGCGGGGGCUCCCGAGGGGCUGUGGGAGUGCGGUGGAAAGGUUACAAGGUCGCGGACCGGCCCUCCCUGCCACUGACCCUGCUUGACCUUGGACAAGUGACUUAACCCAUUUAGAGCUCCUCGUGAGUGAUCCGUGGGGCGACAGCUCCGUGAUCUAUGAUGUCCUCCAAUUUUUCAAAGCCAUCUCCGUUUGAGGCUUGGGGCCUCAACGUGCUGAGCGAGUUACGAAGCAGUAGGCCAGGAUGUCUUUACGUGUGCCUGGGCUCACCUUACACCCCACUCGCAAGUAACUUUGAAGUCUGGAUGCUUUAACAUACCAAUAUUUAAAGGCUUUCUUCAGUGAAAAAUGAGUUACCAUUUUUGCUUAUUUUACAAUUCUUAAGACUAGCCUACUUUGCUGCACCCUUUGGAGCCCUAGGGGCCGGGCUUGGGGACUGGGAGCCAAGCCUGCGCGUGCAGUGGCAGGUGUCGCCAGCGAUGGUCCCUUCCGGACUCCGGUUUAGGGCAAGAACUAGGUAUUAAUUAUGCAUAGCAGAGAGUAGGCAGGGCAGGUGUUUUUGCUUCUGUCUUCUAAAAACUUUGGCUGGGGGAGGGGUGGUGUGAGUGGAAGGGAGGGUGCUCUUCUGAGAGAGGAAAAGAAAAUCUCACUUUUAACCAAAGUAAAUCUUACAUUACUGUAAAAUCUCCUUACAGGAACAGUAACAUAGCACAAGUACAUCUUGAUCUAAUUUUAGUGAAGUAUUGAAAAUAGCUGCUAUGUUCAGUAUCACUGACGCCAAGACAGCUGACUUACAUAAUCUUCGUUGGGAUGUGUUAGUGGCAUGUAUAAUUUUGAUAAAUAAUUAAUGUUAAAGGUUUGGUCUGGCUUUGGUAUUGCAAACCGAUGUAGCAUUAACUUUUCAUUAUCACAAUGACCUGAUUUUUUCCAUAAAAAUCAUUUUUAUCACCAAAAUUCUCUUAAAUAUUGCAUUUACUUUGUCAGUAGUGCAUUCAGAAGAAAUGAUAAAGUACUCCAGUUUCCUCGUCACUCAUGGGAGUGCCUUCUAGAUGUCAAGUGCUUCCCUGGACAUUUUCUCUUCUUGUGCAACUUAUAACAACAGAAGUUGAUUUUUUUAAAAAAAAUGGAAGUUCAUAAAUAUAGUCAACAAAUGCUGAAUAUUCAGAAUACUUGGUGCUAUGAUAAAAAUGAUUACAAAUCUGUGUUGCCCAUCUUUUUAUGUUAACAUGCCACAGUGGAAAGAAAGAAGGUAGCAAAGAAAGAACUGGCAGAGAAACUGAGCUAAGCUAAAGUUCCAGUAUAUAGCAUGAAAAUUUAGACCUCAAAAUUGGCAUUUAACAUAAUACAUGUGAUGACCUGGUUUUGUUUGAAAAACAUGAAACUUUGAAAAGGUACAUUUCUUAAAGAAUCAGUAGCUGUUUGUGUUGUGAUUGGAUGUCUAAUGAAAUGGCCUAAUUGUAACCAUAAUAUUUCACUUCAGUGCUGCCUGAUUUUUAAACUCAUUUUUUAGAUGGCCUUAAAUAAACCUUUCAAUUCAGUUGUAUGAAGGAAAAUGUACCUUUUUAAAUCAACUAAAUCUGCAGUGAGAAAAAGUAUCUCCAAUUUUACACCAAAUGCAAAUUAAGCACCAGAAAUAGCAUCUUCCCAAAAAGGUCUUCACUCUAGACAAGUACUGUGUGUAGGAGAGAUCUAAUGUGGACUGCAGUGAGAUCUGCUAUUAUUCCUGAGGGACUGGUGUCACAGUUUGCUGACUUCAGGAGAGUCCUAAGGCCUCAAUAUUUGGAGACUUGGAAACUUCUGGAAAGCCUAAUGGCCUUUAUUUAAGAAAGACCGUUCAACCCAAGACCUCAUCUUGAUGCUUGAACAACAAGCUGCUGUUGUAGAAUUUGUAUUCUUCAUGAAAAUGUGAUAGUUGGGCAGCCUUUUAGGAGGUUAGAAUAGUGCAUCUCCAAUGUGGUCCUUAGCCCUGUACCAGUAGUACUCUCACACCUUCAGAUUCCUGGGCAUUUUCCACAUUUACAGAAUCCUAAUGUCUGUGAGCAAAACCUAGAAUCUGUAUUCUUACCAAAUCCCUUCCAAAGUGAGAGUUAAUCACACUAUAUUUUAAGAGUCAGCAUUAGAAUUUUCUUGCCAAUGUUGUAACAGCAAGUGUUGCUUUUUUCAAGGAUCCUUUAAAAAGCCCCUGCAUACUUAUUGCUCAGAUCUUUCUCCUGUGGCACCAGACCUGUUGCCUCAUCUUUCAGUUGGGCUACAGCCAGGGACCACUUCAUGACCCACCUCUGCAGGAAACCCAAGAGAUGAUCUCCAGCAGAAUGAAAGCUGUUUUGGGAGCACAGGGCCAAGAUACCGCAAGUUCCAGAGCCACUCCUACUGGUGAGAUAGUCCCACCGUCUUUCCCAGAUUUGUUGGCAAUUGUGGAAGUGGACUCCCAGUCUACUUCUUCAGUGAGGAAAAUAAGGUCUCCAGCAAGUGAUCAGAAAUGGAAGGAACAGAAGGCCUGAGAAGGAAGAGAACAAAAGUGCUAAUUGGAGAGCUGUGCCCUCAACGCCCUGCAGCACUCACAUUUGAAGAUUAUGCAGGAAACUGUGUGGCUAAACUCAAGUCCCCUGCUUUCUAUCACCAAAAUUUUUAUCUACAAACUCAUAUAAUGGCUCCUGUAACAUGUGUAUCCAUAAAAUCCUCACAUAUAAAUGAAGAUUUUCAUACUUAGAGAAAAAGUGGUGGUGAUCAAAGAGUUUAGGAAAGAGCUUCAAAGCAUAAGUUGAGGAGGUUGCCAGACCUGAUUCCAGCCCUUGUUUUGCCCUUUACUUGUAGGUGGCCUUGAGCUGUCUCCUUGACCCUCUAAUCUUCCAUUUCCUUACCUUGAAAGUGAAGAUAAAGUACCUGCCUCCUAGGUCUUAUUUUGGAACUUAUGUAAGCCUAUGAAUUAAAGUACCAUCAGCUAAUAAUCGCCACACAGUGUACAAGAGGUCUUAAAAAAGUUCAUGGAAAAUUAAUAUAACUGCAUGGAUUUCAAAAACAUGUUUGAAUUUAUUUAUUGAUUUUUAAAAUGUGUUUGAGGAAAGAGAGAGAGAGAUCUCCCAUCUGCUGAUUCCCUUCCCAAAUGCCCACAACAGCCAGGCCUGGGUCAGGCCAAGGUCAAGAGCCAGGAACUCCAUCUGGGUCUCCCCAAACGUGAGGCAGGGACCCAAGUACUUGAUGGUCAUCUGUUGUCUCACAGGGUGUGCAUCAGCAGAAAGUGGAAUCAGAAGCAGAGGCAGAACUGGAUCCCGGGCAUGCUGAUGAUGGGAUGCCAGUGUCCAAAGCUGUGGCUUAACCCGCUGUGCCACAAUGCCUACUUCUCGAUUUUUUUUUUUUUUGCACCAGAAUCAGCUUAUCUUUUUCAUUUUUUUCAUGAACUUUUUAAAGGGCCCUCAUAUACUCAAUAUAAGUAGCUCUCAAUUUACUGUAGUAACAUUUUGAAAUUUAUUUUUUAGCCCUGGAGAGUUGAAUGGAAGAAGGAAAAGAGAGGAGGACAUCGCCAGAGGAGAUAAGUAGCUCUGGGCACAGUGGACAGCCCCAUUACUACAUCAUAAUUUUGGGGCAGAGGCCAAGAGAGGAGAGAAAGAUACAGAUUACAGUGGCAGCUAAUAAUUUGGGUUUUGUUCCAUAGCUCAGUGGCUCUGGUGCUCUUAUCCACCCUCCUCCCUUUUUGGUACUGCCAUAUUUACACUUAAUUAUAGACUUUCUUGAUUCACUUUGAAAAACACUGAUUAUGUAGUCGGCCUUGAAUUUUAAUCCUGGUUUUGGAUUUUAAUAUUAUUGAUUCUCAACCUUACAGGACAUUAAUGGCGGCAGCUGUCUCUCACCCAUGGGAUCUCGUUUUGGACUUUCUGAGGUGAAGAUAUACCCAUCUGCAGUCCUAUAGGAAUAGAUUCAGAAUUCAAGUCUAAUUUCCUUUUUCGGAGAUGUAUGUGCCAUCAAGACAUGGGGACAUGGUCAGAAAGGCCCCCCCCCCCCCUUUUAAGACAACUUUUACUUCCUAGAACUAUUUAUGCUUGUCAGAGUACAUUCUUGUUCCUUACAACUGCCCUGUGAAGUCUGGCUAAUAUUACUAGACAGAUUCCUACGAUGCAAUUUAGGCCUUUCUGUCUUCCUACCUUUAUUCUCUUUGCACACCUGUUGCUAGGCUAGUCUGUGCUUUCAUAACUUCUGUUUGCUAAAAUCAAAAUCUUUUAAUUGCUUAUUUAUUCCCCCAUCACACUGCAUCUCUCCUUCCUGGCUUAUAAAGUGGCCUUAAAAGUGAAGUUCCCAUCCUGUGCUCAACACUGUUUAGCCUGUAUUGCUUCCCUCACUGAUGAUGUCUACUCUCGAACCAACCAGAUUCUACUCAUUUUUCAGUUUUCGACCCUCCCCUGGAACCUUACCAGAUCAUUAACAUCCUAAGAUUCCUACCAUGAAUUCAGUGGAAGCCACAGCUGUUUGAGCAGUUAUAACCUGGUCUUAAAGUUCUAAUUGAAAAGGCAAGCAUAUAAUGGAUUUGAUGUAGAGGAAAAAUCACUGGGCAAAGUGAAUUUGAAGACUUCCGAUAAGGAGUUGUGUGAGCCAAGCCAGCUUACUCUACCUUCUAGCUCUACGUUUCCUGGUCUUUGAAUGGAGAGAAUUGGCCAGAUGAUCCUAAUGGUCUCUUCUCAUUCUGAGGUUCUAGGACAACUUGGCCCUACUUAGUGGGAUAGGACUGGGGCUCUUAUUAAGUUCUUGGAUGCAGAUGUCACUAAAGGGUGCCUUCAAGACUUAUUCUGUCCCAGAGAUUUCUAAUUCUAAACUUGGCAACUUUCAAAUGGCAUAUACCUUUUCUGGAAAGCUGUAUAACCAUCAGAAUUCGGGGAAGGUUAGUAGGAGACGAAUUAGGUAUCAGGAUGAUAGUGUGUUAGCAUUAUCCUUGAGAAUCUCUCCCUAAGAUAGAAUAAGUAGGUUAAUUCUUGAAUAAAACUUACUUUUAAGAGUUUAAAAUUUAUAGUAUCUGGGGUAAUUGGCUCCAGGACAAUCCCCUUUUUCUUAUCCUCGGCACAGAUAUCAAACUCUAUAGAUGAUCAAGUCCCUCAUACAAAAUGGCAUAGGAUGCGCACAGAAUCUACGUACAGCCUCCUGUGGAUGUGUGGAUCUCUAGAUUACUUUAAUAUACAAUACAAUGUAAAUAACUAUUAUACUGUAUUAUUUAGGUACUAAUAAGGAAAAAAAUCUGUACAUGUUCAGUACAGACACAAUUAAAAAAAUAUUUUCUGUUUGUGGUUGGGUGGUUGUGGAACCUGCAGACAAAGAGUGGACUGCAGUUUGCAUUGCUGCUUCACUGAAUGGUGUUAGCUAAUAACACAAUUCUGUUUUUCUUUUAAUCAUUUAAUAACCUGAGAAACAUUAACAUAGUCAAGACCCUAGCAUAGAUACUAGAUGACUUUCUGUCAUAAUUUGGCUGAAAAUAAUGUUUGAAGUUUGCAUAUAUGUAUAUACAUAUAUCAUAUGCACAUUAUAUUUAAAUUGGGAAGGAUGCUCCUGAAUUACAAGAUGCUUUUAUACAUUGACCAGAUUUAAGAAUAUCUCUUUAAAGUUUGUUGACAUUUAAUUGACCUUUGAAAGUUCAUUCUGUUAAUCAUACUCAAAGUGCUAAAGCUAUGGAUGACUGCUCUGAUGUUUUUACAUUCAGUCGUGCUCAGCAUAUAAAUUCUUCAGCAUAAUUGCUACUUAUUUAGCAAGCAUUUCCUCUCUUCUCUGAAAAUGCACUUGUGUUUUUGUAUCUUUAGUUUUAACUUUGCUUCAGGCUGGGUAAUGUUAGAGGUUUGAAUUGAAAUGUUUUCCUGUCAUUAGUUGUAUGGGGCGUGGCUCCUUAAUAUAGAAGUAAUGGAAAUUUCUUACUAAGUGAAGUGUACUUUUCUUCCUGAAAAAUUUAGAAAUAUUGAUGGGACAGUGCUAACAUUUUGACCUUGAAAACUACUAUAUAUUUUUAAGCAAAAUUCUUGGAAAUAUUUCAGUUUCAUUUUUGCACAUUAAAGCUAUCAGUACUAACACUUUUAUUAAAUGAGGAUUCAAAAGAGCUUUUUCAUAAGAAACUAUAAUCAUAUUCUUUGAAUUGCUGUGAGUAGAAUUUUAUUUUAUUGUAAACAAGUAUUUGUUAAAUAAAGCCCAGAAAGUCAUAUUUAUAUUUUUUAAAUAUUAAUACUUUAUUAAUACACCUAGAGUCUAUGUUGAAAUAUUUUAGAAUUUUUGAGUUUUCAACUUAUGCAGUCUCGUGAGUUUUAAUAUGAUUAGCUGUUUUUAUAGGUUUGUAAGUUGAUAUUUCUAAUAACCUGGGAAAGUUUUUGAUAAAUGUUGAUAGAAAAAUAAAAGGAUGUAAUUAACAAUUUUUUAUAGUUUAUCUCUGAGAUUCGAGACAGGAUUUUUUGAAUGCUUUUACCCUAAAAGUUUACUUCAUCAAAAAAACAAAGGUUCAAAACCAGAUAACAUUCCAGAGGGAAGAUGGUUCAGAUUGCCCCUCUUACUAUGCACUAAGCUACUUUUGUAACCAGAAAGACAGGAUAUGACAUGCACAGAUUACCUGAUUGGUGCAGUCUGGCAUUUGCCUUAUUUGGACAUAGUUUGUCAGCCUUCAGCCUGGAACUGGCUAAGGCUCAGUUUAGCUAUGAAAGUAAUUCACUAAAUAUAUAAACUCUUUGGGCCAAACUCAUGGUUCAGGUACAGAGGCUUGUUUAGGCCAAUUUAUUCUGGUUCAACACUAAUGAAGAAGAUUAAAAUUUAAACCAGAGUUGUAUGUGUCAUCAGGUAAUUUUAUAGUUUGCAGAUAUGUAGCUCCAUAUUCCAGAUGCAUGCUCCUCCCUGUUUAUAAUGAGUUUUGAUGCCGUUUUAUCAUUUACUUGCAACACAUUGCAAGCAUGUUUGAUAGUGUCAUUGUUUUGAAUGUGACAUUAUUUUCUCAUCUUGUCCUUUAAUAUUGUCCUUUUUUCUUAUUUUUCUGUUCACAUUAGAGCUUUCUCAUUUCAUCCACCCAUUUCCAAAUGAAAAUACAUCCUUGUCUCCCAAACAUUUAACUUCAAAAUGCACCCUUGUUUAGAAAAUAGAGUAAACAUCUUAAAUAGUAUUAUUUCAGUAAGAGCUAAAGAAUACACUGCUGCAUAGUCAGAUACAGGAUGUCCCAGAACAAGGGUGAACUCUCAGACUCCUAUUUUUUAAGUUGUGAUUUCAGCAGACAAAUAGAAGUAUUGCUUCAGUAAUAAAUAGUGUCUCAGGACCAGAAUUGGCUACUGUGUAAGAUAAAGCCUGGUUCAAUAGGGAGUUUUUCUCACAUCUUGGUAAUUCUACUGUACUAAUGAUACAUUAACAAAAUCGAUAUAUUUGCCAUUCUUUUCUGUUUAAAGUCUCUUUUUAAGACUGUUCUAAUCAUUUGAAUCUGAAUAUGUGGGUCCACAAAGGGUUUAUGUUUUAUUUUAUUUAACAAAUUCUUAUACUUUGAUAUACCAAAUAAUACUCCAGGGACUUCAUAAGUACUAACUUAACCUUGUAACUGUAUGGUUUAUUUUACAACUAAUAAAAUUAAGUUGUUAUUUUUAUGAUAUGGCCUUAGGUUGGGGGAGACCAAUAAAUGUAUAUAGAGUAGAUAACUCAGCAGCAGGACUGAAAAGCUGUAAGAGUUUUGGGAAAGUAAGUCUACUUAGGACCAGGAAACUCAGCUGACCCAGUGUUAAAGGGACCAUCUCCUCUUUCCUCAACUUUAAGCCUUUGAGCUCUAGAAGCACUUUCCAGUGCCUGUUGAGCCUGGUGUGAUGGGCUGUACUGACUCCUGUGAUUCUUAACAUGGCUCCACAAGCCUUUCUGUCUUGCCUCCUCCUGGCAUUUGGCCCCUCCAAAGUUUAACUUCUCCCACAGCUGGAAACUUGGGCCUUGCAAGUAACAGUGGAGAUUUCUUUCCCCUAGACUUAACUCCAGCCCACUUCAUCCCUGUCCUUGCCCUUUGUGUAUUUCUUUGAAAACAUUUUUCAGUAGUGUUUAUGUGUGUUUUAUGAAAUUUAGACACUGAUGUCAAGCAAUAGAAUUAAAGGACAAAGCUUUCUUUUCUGUUGGGAUUGGAGGUAGAAGAAAAUGGGAAAGUAGGGACUAUCGAGAAGAUAGACAUUGCUGGAAAGAGGAGAUAUAUUGAUAGGGGGAAAAUGGUGAAAAAAAAUGGAGAGAAUUACUGAUUUGCUUCACGUCCGCACCUUCUCCCCAUUUUCACAGUAACAGAGGCAGUGUUGCCCUCUUUUGCCUGACAUGUGUUUCACCAGGGAGUUAUGUGGAGUGGGAGUGGAAAAUUUUUCCCUUUUGCAUUCUGAGGCUUGGGUGUGCUUCUUUAAGAUGCCACUGGUAUCUAAGCAAUGUUUGUUUAUACUGGAUAUUUUUUCUCUGUAGCCUUUGUAGAUGAGGUUUAUAAUACAAACAAAAAUGUUAGCAGACCUGCAGGUACUCCAUUGCUGUGUUUAUUUUAUUAGUUAAAAAACUGCUUGUGUCCUAGAACUUCGAAGCACAUUUAGAAAAUACCAGAGACAAUUUUAAGAGCAGCUUUAGAAAGAAAAAAAAAUUAAUAUAAAAAGUUAAGCCACACAUGCUUUAGAAUGCUAAUAGGGUAUAUAUAUGUGGGUAUAUAUAUAUAUAUAUAUACACACACACACACACAUAUAUGUAUUUAGAUUAGUGUUUCAAAGACUAAGUUAGAGUAAUUUGUUUCAUCAGUUGGAUUUUUUAAGUAUGUAAAAUAUUAUUCUUGUAUGUAAGUUCCCUUUUCUUAAUAGUCUAGGUAGGACACAAGUGUGGUACUUUUUUGUUCCCUAGAAAGUAAAACUAAGAAUAAGAACUCGUUUGGAAAUUUAAGAAAUUUUAGAUGCUGCUUAAAUCAUCUGUAAUGAUGCUUCUUGGUCAUAUCACAAGUCAGAAAGUAUUUCCUACUGGUUUAUGAUUGUAUUGGGAUUGAAUAAUUGAAAUUGUGACUCUUCUAGAAAAUGCAAGUGAUGCAUGGUCAGUGUUACUCUUUUUAUAAUUCAUUUUAUGGCUCUCUGAAGUCUUACUCUUUAUCAUACCUUCUGUAAAAAAGAGAUUUUUCAUUAGCAUUUAUGAAACGCACUCUAAGAAACAAAAUGUUAGGUUAAUCUAAAUGAUAAAAGUGUUUGAAUAAAUGCAUUAAUUAGUUUUCUGCUUAUUUGAGAGGCAGAAAGAGACAGGCAGAACAAGUCUACUGGUUCACUCCCCAGACAUCUGCAGUGGGCUGGGCUAGGCUGAAGUGGGGAUUCUAGAACUCAAUCUAGAUUUACCAUGUGGGUGGCAGGACCCAACUACUUGAGCCAUCACCACCACCUCCCAGAGUCUGUAUCAGCAGGAAACUGAAUCAGCCAGAGCCAGGCAUCAAAGCCUGGUACUCCAGUGUGGUGUACAGAUAUCCUAACCACUAAGCCAGAUAUCUGCCCCUAUUUUUACAUAGUUGCUCUUUUCCCAAGUGGGGUCGUGGUUUGGUUAGAUCCCCAUCUGUGGAACAAAGUAAACUAAAGAUUUUUUUUCUUGAUCAUUUUAUGGCAAUAACAUGUUCAAACAUUUAAGGAAUCACUAAUAAAUUACCUUUAGGGAAUAGAAAAGAGGAUAGGAAACUUUUUUAUUUGUCUUUUUUCCAAUUUUCUUUUUUCCCAGUCUUCCAUCCUUUCCUAUAGUCAUGGAAAUUUUUAUUUUCCUCCUCUGUCCUUCUCAUUGUGCAUCUUAGAUUGCCAACACACUAAGUUUUUCUGGAGUUAGUCAGAAAUGGAACUUAGGCCUAAAAGCUAGUGGAAACCAUCCCAUGCUUUUGCAGUCUGUCUUUCCUCACCAGAGGCAAGAGGAGCCAGACAGAAGUUGGUGGUUUGUUACUGUUGCCUCUGUGGCUGCCCUGUUUGGUUGACCUGAGCUUUUUACCUCCACUCUAGCGCUUAACAUUACAAAUGAAAUCAGGACCAGUCACACUGUAUUUUCAUCAUCAGCUUUCCCUAGUGGUUCACAUUUAGCACACACCUGCUGUGAGAACAUACUAAUUAGAUGAAUAUAGUAGAAUUCAAUCAUAAUACGGGUUUGAAAAUAACUAUUCUUUGAAUACAAGUAUGACUUUUAGGUGUUUACAAUUUUUUUGUUGAAAAUCUAUAAAAUCUUGACUUGAGCAACUGAGCUGCUGACAGCCCAAAACAGUUUAAGUCAAACAUUAACUUACAGUAAAGCUCUGCCAAAAAUGUCUUUGAUUUUGAGGUACACUGAGCCAUUUCAAGUUAAAUUGCCCUUUCUCAUGGAAUGGUGUAGAAGUCUUGCAACCUGAUAGAAAGAAAUAAGAGUUGUUGUCGUGUGUGCCUGUUUUCUGUAUGCUGUGUCACUAUUUGCUGCAGAUACAAGGUGUGUAAGUCUCUCUCCUUUCUCUGCUUAUGACCCAGUUCCCACGCCAAACAAUGCUGGAAACAAUUAAGAUCUUCUAUGGAAAGCUGCAUAAGUCAGCUACUAACUACUGUGCCUGUAAAUAUACCCUCAAACUAUUUUGUAGCCCUAUUUUUAAAAAUGUGUGGGUGUGGGAAGUGAUGUUGAAUGAAUUCAGGGUAAUUGGUGGCUCUUUAUAUUAGGAAAAAUCACACUAUUUAAGGGAAGUCUACUUCCAUGAUUUGUGUGUGUUUAAUUUUGUAAGAAUUCCUGCAACACUCCCUCCCUCUACUUCCUUCUCUACCUCAUAAAUUCAAGCAAUGAAAGAAUUAGAGUCAUGGGGUUUUAUAGCUAGAGGGAUUUAAGAGAGAAUCUGAUUAACCCUCUUACUAUACUUGAGGAAAUUGAUGUCCAGUGAGGUCAAAUGAGUUCAUGUAGUUAGUUUAAAAGCCCAAAUAAUGUUUUAGUAGUUUGUUCCUUUCAGCAGACACCAUUCUGUUUAACAUGCACAAACCUGUUCAUAAUCAAAAGUUAACAAUAAGAUAAUAUAACUAAUGUGUAUGUCUGUGUGUGUGGGGGGGGUAUUGUACAUGCCUCAGUCACUUCUCCAAAGAGUUCCAUGUGUAGGCAUCUUAGUUUCCAUUUGUGAAGUUAGCAGGUUCAGCAAGGGUAGGGGCCAUAUCAACACCGGCCAUCUAUCAGAAUGACCCAGUGCACUGUGUCUUCCCACCUUAGCAGAAUCAUUGACUGGUCUCAAGACAGUUCUGCCAGACCACUGGAGGAGAAUCACAUCUCCAUAUUAUGGCUCUGACUUUAAAUUUGAACAAAUCAUUAACUUUUGUCUCUAUUUCAUCACUUUUUAAAGGUGGAAUGGGGAAAUGCAAGUUUUAAAGAGCUGUGAGCGCUUAAAUUUUUCAAAAUAAAGAUACUACAUAAUUGUAGAUAAAGAGUGUUUUAAGAAUCUCCUAAUCAGUGUCUUAAAAAUUCAUCUAGUGCUUACAGACUAUCUACUAUAGGUAUGCAAGGCACAUUAUAGAAUGCUCCAGUAAACACAGUACCGAUUGAGAUAGAAUCAUGGCCUUCAUGGAAGAGACUUAUACAAUCUUCUCUCCUUUAAAAUAUUUAUCUUGAUAGAAAAUCAUUCAUAAGAAAUGUCUUGUUCCUGUCUACAUUACUCCACCAGUUUGAAAGAUACUAUUUCUUGUAUGUCUGAAAUGGGUCAGUUUUUUCUAAUAUUUGUACUAAAGAAUUUGCAUUAAAGAAAAUCUGUAAAGUACAGAAACAAAACAGAGGCAUUGUGGUGCAGCAGGUUAAGCCACUGCUUGGGGUGCCCACAUCUCAUACCCUAAUGCCUAGCUGGGUUCAAGUCCCACUUCUACUUUGGUCUAGCUUCCUGCUAAUGUACACCAAGGAAGGCAGUAAGUGAUGGCUCAAGCACUUGGGUCCCUGGGAGGCCCAGACUGAAUUUUGGGCUCCUGGCUUCAAACUCUCCAAGUCCCAGAUGUUGCAGGCAUUUGGGAAGUGAACAGUGGAUGAAAGAUUGAUCGAUCUCUCUCUAGCUCUUAAUCUCUUGCUGCUUCUCAAAUAAAUAAAAAAUAAAUAAUAGAACAUGUAAUAGACUACUUUCUAAUCUUUUUUAAAAAUUAUUCAUUGAUUUUUAUUGAUUUGACAGGCAGAAAGAGAAAUCUUCCAUCUGCUGGUACAUAUGCUUGAAUGUCCACAGCAGUCUGAGCUGGACCAGGCUAAAGUCAGCAGCUUGGAACUAACUCAGUCUGUGCCUGUGUGGAUGUCAGGGUCCCAAUACUUGAGCCAAGAUACAUAUUAGCAGGAAACUAGAACCUGAGGGGAGUCCAGACUUGAACCCAGACACUGCCAUGUGGGAUAUGAGUGUCCCAAGAAGGAUCCUAACUACUGUGCCAAAUGUCUGCCUUUCUUAACUUUUUUUAGGCAUGCCAGAAUCACUUGACAUGCUUAGAAAUUGAUAGAAAAUCAACGGUGUGUGUUUGAUCUAAACUAGAAAUGCAUUUAAUUGUGAAAUUUAUAAACAAUAAUUUUUUAAAUAUUUAUUUGAAAGAGUUACAGAGAGAGAAGGAGAGACACAGAGAGAUCCUCCAUCCACUGGCUUACUCCCUAAAUGGCCACAAUGACCAGGUUUGGGCCAUGCCGGAAUCAGGAGCCAGUAGCUUCUUCUAGGUCUCCCACAUGGGUGCAGGGGCCCAAGCGCUUGGGCCAUCUUCUGCUGCUCUUCCUAGGCCACCAGCCAGGAGCUGGAUUGGAAGUGGAGCGGCUGGGAUAGGAACAGGUGCCCAUGUGGGAUGCUGGCAUUGCGAAAUGGCAGCUUAACCCACUAUGCCAUAACUCCAGCCCCAAAAUAAAUUUUUUUAAAUGCAGCUCCCAUUAUAAGAAUGUGUUUCUCCAUCUUUAUUUAUGACUCUGAAAGUAAAGUACCAAUCAUGUUAAGCUUUAACUGUGCGGCAAAUUUAAUAGCUUUGCUCUUUUUUUCCUUUUUUAAAAAAGGCAGUUUGAAUUCUGAGUUCUGCCAUGUGAUUAUUACAGUGUGGUUCAUCCUAAAUUCACCAAUAAUGUUCUUUUGGAAAUCCAGUCUUCUGUUUCAGCAGAACUGAGACUGUAUUUCCUAGGAAGAGCUGCUCUUUUAAAGGACUCCUGGGGCAGGAGCCCCCAGGAGGAAAGAGUUGAGCCAGCAGGUGGUCUGAGGGAGGCUGUCUGGGAACUGCUGACUGUGGAGAACCUGAGAGAAGGGAGGAAGCUUCUGUGGGAGGAAUAGGAUGGAAAGUCCCUUAUUAGCCUGGGGGCUGGGAUGGGCUGACCCUCCGGAAUCCCCCUCCCUAGAGAGAACGCCUGCCAAAGCAGGAGAGGCAGAUGGGGGUUGGAGGGCAGAAAGCAGGAUGAUAACAACCCAAAAGCUUUCUGAUAGGUUUUUUGAGAGCUCCUGUCUGGGAUGCUUGGCCUAUAUAGUAAAUCGGUUUUUUCUUAGACAGCUGGCAAGUGAAUAAAUAUGCCAGACAAUGAGUGAGUUGCUCUUACCACCAAAGAAUCUGCAUAUUUGUUUCUACUCUUGGUGUUUUUUUUUUUUUCUUUUCAUUCCUUAACUUCUUAUGCCCAAUUUACAUUGAGAACAAUUAUUGGGACUAUGAAUAUUAACUAUCUCCCAUGUAUUCAAACCCAUACUCCCCUGCUCCACAAAUGAUUCAGAGAGGCUUACAUAAACAAAACAUCAUAACAGGACAGGGAGUAAUAGAUGUGAUUCCCCCACUCUGGAGACAGUCUUCUCAUCUGUAUGAUGAGAGAGACAGGCAUGUGAAGGUAGCUGCUUUAUGCCGCUGUGGCAGCAGUAACAGGAGACUGCAUUGACAUUGCUUGGUGUACAAAAAAUAUUCAGUUGAGGUUAUAUUAAGGCCAUAAAAUUGCUUAAUUCUCUAUUUUUUUUACUUUUUCAUUAGAGAAUACUCAUUGAACUAAAAUAUUUUUAUUCAUGACUACAGUUGUAGAGAUUUUAUUCUCCUAACUGUAAGCUUUAUACUAUUCAAGCAAAUGCUUUUCUUCCUAGAAUUUGAGUUUCCUAACAGUCUUUCAAGUGUGGUACAACUCAUGAGAAAUUGUUCCUAAUAAGUUCAUAGAGCCUUCGUCCAUUUUUACAAGGCAAAGGCCAGGUCAGUCUGUAUUUGUGUUCAUUGCAAAGAAAAGCAAGGGAAGGUUUCUCAUUACCAGCAUUAGUGAGGGUUAGAUACCUGGGAUUAGGCUAAAGACAUGUGGGCUACUGAGUGUGAAAGACUGAACCACAAAAUGUGAAGAUUAAUUUCAAAGGGCAGAAUUUUGCACAUUUGUGUCAUUUCUAUUUCAGGUCAGAUCUUUGUAUGCUUUCUACAAAAGGAGGCAGAGACCACUUGUGUUUCUUGUCAUUAGGUGUGCUUUCUGAAGGGACAGGACAGGGCAGAGUGUGGAAGGAUACAGAGCCUGGGCACAUGGCCCUGUGUGGACAUGGAACACUUCUAUUCCUGGAGGGCUGCUCAGACACUCAGAGGCCAGAAGUACAGAGGUCAGGGGACAUAGGAGGAAAAAGGUGGAAGGGAGGGAGAUGCGUCCUUGUAGAGGUGGACAGGAUAGCCUAUGUGUACCCCUGCAUUCCCAUGGACAUAGGAGAUUCCUAAUAUAAAUAAGUAGACAGUAUAUAGGUAGGUAGGUCAGUUGGUAGAUGGAUGGAUGGAGUGAAUUAGUAGUAGACUCUUCCAUCACCUGCUCAUAAGUGCCUAAAAUCUCACUAUUAAGUAUGGGCUGUUCCAUUGAAAGAUUCUGGUAACUUAAAAUACAGAGUUUUUUUUUUUAAUUUUUUUUUUUUUUUGACAGGCAGAGUGGACAGUGAGAGAGAGAGACAGAGAGAAAGGUCUUCCUUUGCCGUUGGUUCACCCUCCAAUGGCCGCUGCAGCUGGUGCGUUGAGGCCAGCGCACGGCGCUGAUCCGAAGGCAGGAGCCAGGUACUUAUCCUGGUCUCCCAUGGGGUGCAGGGCCCAAGCACUUGGGCCAUCCUCCACUGCACUCCCUGGCCACAGCAGAGAGCUGGCCUGGAAGAGGGGCAACAGGGACAGAAUCCGGUGCCCCAACUGGGACUAGAACCUGGUGUGCUGGCGCCGCAAGGCGGAGGAUUAGCCUAGUGAGCCGCGGUGCCAGUCGUAACAUAGAGUUGAGUAUGUGAGUGGCAGAGGGUUCAGGGUAACUUGAGUAACUGUAAUAUUUUAAGUUGUUCUUAGUUAUGCAUGGCCUGGGGACAAUGUAGGAUUAUGUAGUCAGUUAAGAGGGUUCCAGAUUAAAUGGUUUUAUGAUAGAUAGGAAAAAUUCUGAAACUUUAUCUGGGACUGAUCCUAAACUCUCUACCAUCAGAAUAAAUUAAACAGUCCUCCAAAGGGUUGAAAUAAAAUUGCUGUGGGAAAGAUUAUAAACCCAGAUGUCCAGAGUAGCGCUUUUGAAUGGGAAGGCUUUUUGAGACUUUGUCUAACCAGGACUAAAACACAGCCAGGUUUCAUACAGUUUUGACCUUGCUAAGUUGAUUUCUGUGGGCAUAUCCAGGAUUGUACAGGACAAAUUAGGGUGUGAUGUGUUAAACAUGUUUAGGUCUCAUUCAGCAUCUUACUGAAAUAAAUCUGCUUUAUCUUUCACAUAGUUCUUAUCUAACAUAUCUUGCUAAAAGUGACUGUGAAGUCUUGUAGUGAUGCUUGUUAAAUGCUCUUCCAUUUAUGAACUCCUGUAGCUAAGAUCUUACAGUCUUGCAUGCUUUGUUUGCAGACUUUUUUUUACCUUGAUUCAUAAAGUUCUGAGCAAGAGGCUUGAUUUUCAAAGUUGUGUAAAAGUUCGGUAUCUCCUCAUGUUCAUUGAAUUAAUUAUUUGAGGUUGUUUGCUUUGUGCAUAGUAGUGAUUUCCAAUUUCUAAUUUUUUAAUUUAAGUUAUUGUCAAAGUGGUAAGAUUCCAUAGCAAGGUAGGGAAUCUGUUACUUUGAGAAAAAUGUAGGGGAGUAAAAACAUUUUCUUUUUGUAAACAAUUACUGACACACAAUAUCCUCCCAGGGUGUAAGGCUUGGUGUUUGUCUGUUUUAAUUAAAGAGUACCCUGCCUGUCCCUUCCUGACUAACUUUAAAGAAUUGGGUGUCUUGGUGAGAAGUUCACAAGGUUGGUAGCUGUAGCUGAGUCUGGUGGAUUGACUCAAGCUCUAGUCAGCAGUGGUAUAUGAAUGCCAAGUACUAAGAAUUUCUGGAAUGUAGAGUUGCACAGCACUGAUAAAGUUUGCUUUGUUCCCCUAUGUGACUUGACCCAUUGAGAAAAUGUGGUUCCCUAGGAAGUUUUAAUAGUUCAAAGUCUUUAGUUAAUAAAGAAAAAGGCCACAACAUAAUUCAGCUUGUUUUCACCUGCUGCCUCAAAGAUUAACUUUUUUAACCUUGAUGGGAUAGAGUUACCCUUUGCUUUGAAAAAGCAAUUUAUAGAGCUUUUCACAUUUGCUAGUUUCAGUAAACAUGAUGCUGCUUGUAUGGAUUUUGUUUUUGGUUGGGACUUUAUCACAAACUAAAAACUUCUGCAACUUCAGACCCUUAUGGUAGGUAACUUCAUUUAAAAACAAUCUCUGGGAAAGCCACACCCAUUAUUCUGUAUCAGCUAAUCUGUCACUGGACUCAGAAGGAUUUUGAAUUAGUUCAGGAAAGUCGUGAGUGAUAGAACUUAACUUUCAGUUUUUCUCAUUUAUUUUCAUAAGAGAAUGGGAGUGGAAUUCAAAACAUUCAAAUUUGGAGUUAAUGUGCGUCACUCUGUUGCAAGUGAUAGGUUCUGUGUUUUUCCAGUGGGAAACUUUGAUCUUCCAGCCCAUCUGUGCCUGUGAUAUACCUCCCUAAUGCAUGCCAUUUUUUCUCCUGAUUGUUGUUACGCUUUCAAAAAUCAGCUGACUGUACAAAUCCUCUGGGAACAGAUUUCAGAACAAAAGUGGUCUAGAAAAGCAGCACGUAAGUCUUUUUUUUUUUUUUUUUUUUUGGUCAAGAGUUUACAACUUUCCAAAUAACCCUUUACUAUUUUGUUAAUAGCCAGUUAACUGCAGUAUUUAUUGUGAAAUGUACACUUUAUGAUGUUAACAUAAUGUAGCUCCUGUGUUUAGUCACGUUUACUCAAAAAAGGAUUUUAAUUAUGUAAUGCAAGUUGGACUCUGUUAAAUAAGCUGACCACUUGCCUAUUUGUUUCUUGGGCUGACAGUAACGAUAAAAUGCGUUUGCACGUGUUAUCUGAGUAUAUCACAACAUCCUGUAGAAAUUUGGCACACAGAUAAUAGACUUCUAUGGAGCUUUUUGUUGGUUUCGAGUUUGAGACAUUUUCUAGAAUAUUUCUGUUUGGACCAGGCUUUGGUAAUUUACCUGUACAUCUUGGAAACACCUGCAGGGGACUGUUCUUCAGGUUAAGCAAACAGAAAGUUAAAGAAGGCGUGUGGCUGCUGGCAGUGAGCGACUGUAAACAUCCUCGACUGGAAGCUGUGAGGCGCAGACGGGCUUUCAGUCGGAUGUUUGCAGCUGCCGACUGCCCCCGACUUCCAGGAGCUACUCCAGGUGCCCUGGCGUUGUGUGCUGAAACUGAGUAGCUGGCUUUCUUGCCAGUUUGUUUUUACAAAUUCUGGAUGAAAGUGGUAUAAAGCAAAUAACUUUUUAAUCAUAUCUGUACAUUUGUAGAGGACUUUAGCAGAGCAGGAGGAGACGUGUUGUGUAUGUGCGUAGAAUUUGCAAUAUAAAAAAAAGUAACAGUGUUCCUGAGGAAAUACAUUAUUGUAUUUUUCUUCUUAAUUUCUAUUUAUCUGCAUUACUUGAAAAGAAAAACUAGCAAAGUCAAACUGAAGAAUUAAUUCACUUUCAUAUCCUCUUAGAUUCAGGCUUUAAGUAAUAAAGUAGCAAUUUUCAACUUAAUGAAGUGUCUAAAAAUAAACCAAUAGUGACUCAAGUAACUCUUAUUUGAAAAAUCUAUUUGUUCUUGUUUUAGCUGAUCAGAAUAGUAUUAUAGACAUUUGUUGAUGCUUCAACACUAGCCGUUCCAUUGAACAGUUAAAUUUGGUUUAGGGUAAUAACUUAUCUCUUUAAGAUAAUAAAUGCAUCAAACUCUGUCCUAAGUAUGUAAAGGCAAUUUAUGUUUGAGAAUUCUGUCAUAGAUCUCUGUGAAGAGCCUGAUUUCUAAUUUGUCUUCUUUGAAAAUCUGUUUUUCUUAUGGCAGAUUUGUGUAAUAUGAGUCUUUAUUCACAUAAGUGUUAGAAAUAAGACCCUUAAACAGAGAUGAAGGUGACAUCCUUUGUUUUCUAAAACACUGUAUUUUCUAAGUAUGUAGUGUUUUCAUAAUGUGAAAAUAAUGGCUUUUGUCUAUUGCUUUAUACCCAUUGAUGAUGUUCAAUAGAGGUGGUAUUAAAACAGUGUGAUUAUUUUGACAUUCUAAUAGAGAUGGAGAGAGAGAUUAUAUAUAGAGGUGCCUUUAAAUUUCCUUCAUAGGUAAAGUGAAAACACUCCAUUAGUCAUGCUGGGCCAUGAGAGGUUAGUAAACUGACACUGAAAUGCAGGGGGGAGGGAAGCCCUUCAGUAGGCCCUGGGGUCUGGAAUUGAGUAUGUAGCCUGUUUUAAUAGCUAAACCAAAAUCACUUAGAGCAAAUAACUCAGCUGUGUCCUAGGGAACCUGACCAUAUUUUGCAGGUAAAUGACUAUAGGUUUGGAGAAAUGGGCAGGCUUCUCCUAAUUCUGUGACCUUGCCUUCUUUAGGUUCUUUCCUUGAGUUAUUUCAUGUCUCCUGCCUUACCUCACUGCCCUCUAAAUUUUCCAUUCUAUUUGGUUAUUUCCUUCAUGUAAGUAAUUAGUCAUUGGAAUUGUUUUGAACUUGUAAAAACUACAACACCCUUUAAUAAUCUUAAACCAACCAGUUUAAACCUCUGUAAGCCAUUCUGGGUAUUUUUGAAAUUAAUGCCCAUUAUUUGUUAUGUUUAUGCCCUCACAUUUCCACAGUAACAAUCUAAAAUGCUAUUUUAAAAUAGCAUCAACAGUAUGCUAUUUAUAGUUGAAAUAAGAUCUGGAUGCAUUUUUUUUUAUUUACAAAAAAAAAUCCCUUUCAAAUUUACAGUGUUACCAUUCACUUAAGAUAAAUUAAUAUUUAACAUAAAUCAGAAACUAGCGCUAAUUGCUUUCAUGUAUCUUUUUCUCAAUGUAAUUUUUUAAGUCUCAUUGAUUUAUGAACUAGAAUUUACAAUUCUUAAAGUGGACUGCAGUAGGUCAGUUCCUGAGAAUAAAAACACUGUCAAAAUGUAUGCUAGAUAGGUGUAACUGAAGAAUGGCUGUAGAGUCAGUACCACACUGAGUAAUCAUAACUAUUGUACACUUAGGUUUUUUUUAACUUUUUUUUUUAAAUAUUUAUUUAUUUACUUGAAAGAGUUACACAGAGAGAGGAGAGGCAGAGAGAGAGAGGUCUUCUAUCCGAUGGUUCACUCCCCAGAUGGUUGCAAUGGACGGAGUUGUGCUGAUCCGAAGCCAGGAGCCAGGAGGUUCUUCCGGGUCUCUCACGCGGGUGAGGGGCCCAAGGACUUGGGCCAUCUUCCAUUGCUUUCCCAGGCCAUAGCAGAGAGCUUGAUCGGAAGUGGAGCAGCCGGGUCUCGAACCAGCACCCAUAUGGGAUGCUGGCACUUCUGGCCAGGGUGUUAACCUGCUGCGCCACAGCGCCAGCCCAAUACUUUUAAAACUGUAUUAAAUUAUAACAGCUUUAAAAGUGAAAUCAUAGAUGAACUCAAUGAGUUGUCCAAUGUGAACACCCCUUCCGAACACAUCCAGAUAAAAAAAAAAAAAAAGGAACAUUUCCAACCCCCUAGGUGCAACCCAUGCUUCCUUCUAGUCACCAGGUUUUUUUAUUUUUUUUAUUUUUUUGACAGGCAGAGUGGACAGUGAGAGAGAGAGACUGAGAGAAAGGUCUUCCUUUGCCGUUGGUUCAGCUUCCAGUGGCCACCGAGGCCAGUGCGCUGCAGCCGGCGCACGGCGCUGAUCCUAAGGCAGGAGCCAGGUACUUAUCCUGGUCUCCCAUGGGGUGCAGGGCCCAAGCACUUGGGCCAUCCUCCACUGCAUCCCUGGCCACAGCAGAGAGCUGGCCUGGAAGAGGGGCAACCGGGACAGAAUCUGGCGCCCCGACCGAGACUAGAACCUGGUGUGCUGGCGCCGCAAGGCGGAGGAUUAGCCUAGUGAACUGCGGUGCCAGCACUCUAGCCACCAGUCUUAAGAGUGAUCACUGUUGGGGCCAGAGCUGUGGAGCCUACACUUGCACCUCCAGUUCAUUUCCCAGCAGCUCCUCUUCUGAUCUGGCUCUCUACAAUAGCCUGGGAAAUCAGUAGAAGAUGGUUCAAGUCUGCACCUGCAGGAGACCCAGAAGCAAUUCCUGGCUCCUGGCUCCUGGCUUCAGAUGGGCCCAGCUCCUACUGUUGCGGCCAUUUCAUUUGGUGGGGAGUGAACCAGUGGAUGGAAGACCUUUCUCACUCUCCCCCCGCCCCUUUCUCCCUCUCCCCCUCCCUCUUUCUCUCUCCCUCUCUUCCCCUCUCCCUCUCCCUCUCCUUUUCUCUUCCUCUUUUUGUACAUUUAUUUUUUAUUUAUGACCUGUCAAAGCAAAAAUUGGUGCAUUUCUGUAAGGGCGAUUCCUAAGCGAAGUGUGACGAAUUUCUAAAAGUAGCAGUGGUGGUUCUUUAAAUGAUAUGUACUUUUCCUGACUUUAAAAGUCUGUCUUUGAACCUGCAUUUUAUUUUGUUGUGAUGCUGUGUAUAAACAUCAGACAUGGGCAGAGCCCUUCCUGUACUAAAGAAUAGCUUCAACUGGGGUGAGGACUGUGCAGAAAAGGGAGCUGUCUCUGAAGGCCAUCCUGUGUGGGAAUGAGUUUGGUACCUGGACCUGCUUGGCUGGAUUGCUAUCAAUGUUGUCUUGUUUUCUUUCACUAAAAUUUCACAUAUAUAUUACCAUUUGGGGGAAAAAAAUCUUUCCUCAGUAGUGUUAAUCUUUGGUGACUUAAUAACACUGACAUGAAGUUACCACUUUUUUUUUUUUUUUUGCUGCUGCUGCUGUUAUCAGAAGGGUAACAGAAAUUUGAUUAUUUGUCUUCAGUCUUCAUUUUUGAAGUGACUUACUAAAAUCUUAAAAGAUGAUCAUAAUGAACCAUCCUAGCAGUCCCUUUGAAAUAGUGGAGAAGACUUUCUUCACAUGGCACUGCAUCAGAAUAAAUAUUCCAAGUAGAUAUGGAAGAUGUAUUUGAUAGUCUGUAUAGAGUUGUGUGCACUGCCGAGAAUACAGAACCAAGCUUAAAUUAUUAGAGAUUAAGUUGUUUAUGAUUAUUUUUCAUCUGCAUUUUACUCCUCUUAAUGGUAAAAAAAUCAGUAAAUAAGAUUUAAAAACUUACCUUGUUGAAUAUGCUUAUUAUUAGGAAUAAUCAAUGAAUUUAAUACUCUGUAAUAUACUUCUUUAGUUGUUAUGCACAGACAUGUAUCUCUUACUAAUAUACAUUUAAAAUCUACAGCAUGAAUGUGGUGGACAAGUUAAUGUUUCCAAGUGAUACUCUGCCUUUCUAAAUGUUUAUAUCUAAUUAUUAUAUAAAGUUAAUGAUGCGGUACUUUCGAGAGAUGAGGAUUUUUUUUUGUCUUGAUACAAAUUAAAACAAAGUAGGUUAGGGAUUCAUUUAGCACAAACACUAAAUAUGAUUUUACUGUCCCCAUAGGGUUCAGGGUCCCACAUGGUUAGAGAAAUUAAUGAAUAAACUCAAUCAGGUACCUUUACAACUCUGAAUAACAUCAGAAUCUCUUCACAGCUCUCACUUCAAAAAUGAAACCAGGAGAGCUCAGGGUGUGAUAUACUUUACUGGACAGUGUAGUAGAACACAUGAAAUGUUAUACAGUGUAAUAAUGUUAUAAUAAGCUCAUUAUUCUCAAUGUGUUUCCUCUCUGGGCCCAACUACCUUUUCUGAGUUUUCAAUUUGAUGUCUUUCUUUUAGCUAAAAAGUUAAACUCUUGAAAAGAGCAAAUGAAUACUUAUAGCAGUAAUCUGUAAAUGAAGGAAAAGUUAUAUAAAAGCUAAAGAAACACAUGCAGUGAAGUAUAUAAAUAAAUGCCAAUGCCAUAAAGCUGUAGCACUUGCAGUCUUGAUUCUCAGUAGAAAUAUUAUUUAUUUGCAGGAUGUGCCAUGUUAAUACAAUAGAAACAUUGUGUAAAUGAAUAUUUAUUUGCACUGAGUGUAACCAUGCUGAAAUGUUAGGGAUUUGGUAAAAUCUGCAAAUUCAGAAAUUCAACUUUGAGUAUUCAUAUCUUGCAUAUAAUCUUUCUAAGUAUACAUCAAAGAACUGGUUUUGCUAAACUUCUUAAAGGGUAGAUUCCUUACUAUUUAAUUAUCAUGCUAGAUUAAGAUUAUCUUUGAAAUUAUAAUCUUUAUGGACUAGAAAAUUUAGUUUCCAUUUUUUCGUUUUCUAUGUUUUCAUUCAUUAGUUUUCUUGACUAUUUCAGUUAUAAUAUCUCUCUGAUUCUGAUUCUGCUGUGUAACCCAAUCAAUCUGUAUUUUACUUAAACUAAGUUCUGAUGGUCAGAUAUUGAUUAGAAAAUUUGUGCAGUUUAUUCAUAGUAAGAAUAAUGUUCAGCUUUGUCUUGAAGGAAGUUAUCUUAGUUUUCUACACUUUAGCUUUAGGUUCUAGGCUGAGUUUAUUGUUUUCUUGCAACUGGAUCCUAAACCUCUUAGUAAAUAAAAGUAAAUCAUCAAAAGUUAUGAGAAAUUCUGAAAAAUUCAGAUUUCAAUUUGUCAAAAUUCAGUUUCCUGAAAUGAAACUUAUGUGUUCUUUUUAUAAAGUAAACUCUCAUUAGUUAAUACAAAUUUAAUUCUUGUUGAAUAUGUUUGAUGUGGUAAUAGCUAAUUAAAAUCACCUUCUAAAAACAGUCAUUCAGUUUACCACCUGAGAAAACACUAGGACUAGUGCUGGAGAGGGUAGUGUUAUGUCUAAGAUAGCAAACAAGCUCUCGGGCUGGCGUGAGUAGUCCCAUCCUAUGGAUCUCAGGACGUGGUAAAUUAUAGCUCUUGGUGUGACUAACACCUUUCUAGCUCUCAGGAGAAUAUCAGUGAAGGCGGAAGGAUUUUUUUCUUCUCAUGCAAAAUGGUUACUGUAGAUCCUAAAUUAAGAUAGAACUUAAAGUUGCUAAAGUGCAUAAAUGCUGUGUUGCCCCUCUUUUAGAUCCUCUUCUAAAGAGAUCUUUGUGAUCUGGCUCAUGCCCCAUCUUCUCUAUACCCCAGUUUUCUAAACUCCAGCCAUGCUGCCUUUAAAUUCAUCCAACAACCUUGUUCUCUGUUCCCUCCAAUCCCAAAACUUUUGCCUUAACUCUUUCCUCUUCACAGAUGCAAUACUUUUACUUUACCUACCUUCUUCUACACAUUCACCAUUCUUGCACACACACAUGCAUAAAUACACUUAUUCUUUAGGUCUCAAUGUAAAUGUCAUCAUCUCUGGAAAAGAAUUCCCUUUUACCUUCUCCUUUUUGGCUCCUCUUCUGUCCUGAGACAGGAAUCACAAGAAGUAGCCUGCCAUGUGAUAUUGUGGGAGGCAGAAUAUCCCAGGCAGAGGGAAAAGCAAGUUUACCUAACAAAAUUGGAACAUGCAUGGGGCCAACGUGGUAGUACACUAGAUUAAUCCUAUGCCUGCAGCGCCGGCAUCCCAUAUGGGCACCAGGUUCUAGUCCCAGUUGCUCCUCUUUGAGUCCAGCUCUCUGCUGUGGCCCAGGAAAGCAGUAUAAGAUGGUCCAGGUGCUUGGGCGCCUGCACCCGUGUGGGAGACUGAAAGGAAACUCCUGGCUCCUGGCUUUGGAUCAGCACAGUUCUGGCCAUAGCGGCCAUUUGGGGAGUGAACCAACAGAAGGAAGACCUUUCUCUCUCUCUCUCUCUCUCACUGUCUGUAACUCUGUCAAAUAAAUAAAUAAAUAAAUAAAUCUUUAAAAAAAAAUUGGAACAUGCAAAACUGAUAAAGUAUUUUGGUCCAAAGCAAAACAAGCCAGAGAGGUAAGCAGAUAAUUGCAGAGCAUUGUAGGUCACAGUGAUGAGUUUGAAAUUUACUAAUAGUCAUUGGAUUAGUGUUUGUUAUUAUGAAAUAUUCUUUAAAUUAUAAAUAUAGUUGAAUUGAAUGGUAGGACUUUGGUCAUAGUGACUGACCUUUCUGGAAUGUGAGCAACCUAAAACAAAACGUGAUAACAGCUUAUUUUGAUAAAUAUUGAAUGUUUAAUUGUAGAAAGAAUAAUGAGUGUUAGUGCCUGAAGGAUACAAAGUUGUAAGUGUGGAAUAAUGAGAUGAUAUGUGGACUAGAGACCCAGGAUUACCUGGAUCCCACCUGAGACCAUUCAGUGCUCCCUGAAAAUAUCUCACAAAAAUACAUACUAAGAAGAAGAAAAGCAAAAGAAUAAUCUUACACUAAGUAGGACAUCCACUCCAACACCAAUAUAUAAUUUUAAUGAACUAGUGCUGGAAUCGUUUGUUUGAUAUCCUUUUAGUCUCUAACCCAUAUUGAGCACAGUUCUCUGUGAGGUAUUGAAGAAGAUAGAUGAUUAACUGAGAAGAUGAAAGCGAAAUUAAACUUGAGACUUAUCCCAGGGCAUAUAGUAUAGUUCUUAUUCUUGGGAGAAAGAACAUCUACAAGGAAGUCUGGGCAGUUUAAGCUGAAAAAAUUGUAGGUGGUAUUUGAAGUAUGCUUUCCUCAGGUUAAGGGUAUGAAGGCAUACUGUGAUAUGUUUCAAGAUAAAUGUUUGAAGGCAGGGAGAGUGUGUGCCUGGAGAGAUUGCCACGUCCAGCUGGAUUGCAGUCUGACUGGCCCCUCAGCAGGUAACAGGAAUCUUGGAAGCAAUAUAGUCAGGAAUAUUGUGGAGGUUUUGAAAAUGUGCAAAAAUACUGCUCUAAGCUUAUGGCAAGCUACACAUUUAAAUAGUGUUGAAUUAUAGGUUGAAGUUAUUAUGCAGACAUAUUUUGCUUUCCUUGAAAGCUGGAAAACAAGGGCUGGCUCUCACUGCAUCUGUAAAUAGGCUGCUAUCUGUUUUUCUUUUUUUUUUGUAGUUAUAAAGCAUCAUUCAUGCCAGCAUAGUUAAUGAGCUCCAGCAGCUGUUAAAUGAUAUUAUAUAUUCUCUGCAGCUAGGGCUUCUGAUGCUGCCAUUGUCUUCUGGCCAUCUUGGUGUCUUCUCUAGCAUCCUUCUAAACCACAGUCACUCAGCCCAUGAGAUUCUGAGGUCUGUGUCAGACCAGGCCUGCAAAGGGAGAGGCUCUUUUGGCAAAUGGCAGCCAUGAGAUGAUACUGCCUUUAUAAUUGCUACCUUCUUUAACAAAGGCUGAGAGUAAUGCUAUGGGUCACUAUUCACGAUUUUCUAAACUGGCUUUCUAAAACAAAAUUACUGUCCAUCAGAUGAUGAAUAGGCACUAACUUUCAGUCUUCCAAAUAGGAAAUUUGACCAACUUCACAGGCAGCCUAAAGCUGAAGGAAUUAAAUGAGGCUUGAUUCUUCUUGUUCUUCAAGAUCUAUCUUUGUUCCACACCUGUCACUCAUGGAGCUUCCUGUUCAGGUGUUUAUAAAAUUGAAGAUUGUUCAAUUCCCCUAGUCCAUUAUUGCUCCAAAUUCAGACUUUUAACAUGGUAUCUUCCACAAUGAUUUCUCUGAGAUAAUCAGUUUCCCUUGGCAUACUCUAAAAAGAUGCCCACUUCUAGUGUGCCACAAGGAAGUCAAUCCUCAUUCUGGUACCACCAGGCUCCAUUCUGGGUUGUUGAUAUGUGGGAUGAUGACCUCCUCUGAGCUAUGCUCAAUUUGAUCCUCAUCUGACUGUGGUGGUGUGGUGGUCUUGUUAUAGUUGGCACUUUCCGAUGGAAAGAUGGUAACUCCAAGUUGGGAUUAACUGUGCAAGUCUCUUUCAUUGCCCAGCAGUUACGAAACUCUGUACUUUUCCAUGCCUGCAAUGCCCCUGCCUCCCUCCAGACACCUGAUUCUCUCUCUUCCUUCAUCAAAACAAUAACUUAGUUUUUUAUUUUCCCCAUAAACACAUCAUAGCCUAGACAGCUCAUAGCAAGAGCCUUGGGUGAUUGCUGACGUCAUGAAUAAGAGUGCCAAUUGUUAAAUCAACAACGAGAGUCCCUGGGUACAUGCUCCCGACGUAGGAUCUCUGUCCUUAAUGUGUUUUACUAUGAAACUUAAAAACAACUCACUACUAGUCAAACAAUACCCUAUACCUUGUGCGGUUGUGUGAGGGCAGCCUGUUGAAAUCCUUGCUUAGUAUAUACUAAGUUGAUCUUCUGUAUAUGAAGGUAAUUGAAAAUGAAACUCAAUGAAGGGCGGGAUGGGAGAGGGAGUGGGAGAGGGGAGGGCCGCGGGAGGGAGGGAGGUUGGGGGGGAAGCCAUAACAAUGCAAAAGUUGCACUUUGUAAAUUCACAUUUAUUAAAUAAAACACACACACACACACACACACACGGGCAAAAUAUUUACCAUAAGAAAAAAAAUACUUGCUAGGCAUUGUUUGUCUGUAACAUGACAAAAACAGGUUUAUGACUUCUAGGUCACCAUUAAGUAGCUACUAAAAGACAAUUUAUGGUGACAUGUUAGUUUAAACCAAUCAAAUGAUAUUUAAGAGCCAACUAUAGGAGAAUCAGAGAAAUAACCACAGGUAACAAAGAUGUUUUAUGAGUAGAUGUAACAGGUAUAAUACAGCUUUUUUUCUUAGUCUUUGUAUUUUUAUGACCCUUAACCUUUCAUAGAUGGUCAGUUUUUUGUUAUUUAUAAACUGGAGCUGUUUACCAAAUUGAUAUUACAUUAUUUAUAUUUUAUAAUUAAAAAAUACUUAUUUGAGGGGCAGAGACAAAGAGACAGAACCCCUAUCCAGUGAUUUAUUUCACAGAUGCCUGCAACAAAUAGCUGAGGUUGGGCUGUGCUGAGUCUGGAGCUUGGAACUCAAUCUAGGUUUUCUUCAUAGGUGGCAGAUAUCCAUCAGUUGCUGCCUCACAGGAUCUGCACUGGCAGGAAGCUGAAGUUAGGAACUGGAGCCUGAACUCAAACCCAGAUGCUGUGAUGUGCAACCUUGGGUAUUUUAGCUAGCAUUGUCAUGGGUUGGGCAAAUACCCACCCCAAUUGUGUUAUUCUAAGUUGCAUCUUUUUGCCUUUAAAAUUACAGCAAUAUAUACAUGUUCUUUUAAUCUCUUCACUUUUUACACAUCUUCACCUUUGAAGAUGAAGUUAGUUUCAAUGAAAAGCGAUAAGGAAAAAACCUUGAAGAUCCAAACAUUGCUAUAGUAAGAGAAAACCGCAAGAGCUUUACUCAUUUUGGUCUCUGUUUCUAUUACUAAGGAGAUGUCAGAACUAUUCUGGAAACUAUGUUAUACUGUACAACUAGAGCAUAACUAUCUGCUGACACAUAGGCCAUCUCUGAAAUAUUGCUUAGUAACACAGUUUCAAAUACUCUGGUGCCAUCUCAGCUAAAGUAAUCUUUGAACAACAAGAGUCUUUUCUUUGCUUCAUAGAUCUUCUCAGAGAUAUGUGAUAAGUGGCAUAUAUUCAAAGACUGCUACAGUAAUCGUUUUCAUGUAGCUUAGCCAGAAACAUUCACUCUGUUAACAUAGUGGGCAUCUAAGACUGUCACUGGCGUUGUGCUGCACAGCAGAAGUAUUGACCUGCUGACUGAACAAAUGGGAUCCCUAGAAUGACUUACUAAAUUCCAACUUGCUAGAGCAUUUCACCCUUUUUCUCCCACAAAACUUCUUACUUUUUAUUAGAUGAAUACAUUUAAACUCUUGCAAGCAAAUUGCAGUUUCCCACUGUUGAUAUUUUAAGAAUAGCAUUUGGAUGAGUUCUGUUGAUGCAAAACAAAUAACUGUGUUUGCAUCUGUGCAAAUAUUUAUCUAAAAUUGCAUUAGUAAAAAUCCCAGUGACCUUCAGGUGUAAUUGCUGUACCUUACAUCAUUUGAGACAGUCAUGGAACUACUGUUACUUUACGGACCAUGGGUCACUUCAUUUCAGUGUUUCCUUUAGAGGACUAUUUGGGAGACUCCCUUCCAAUAGAGGAAGUGGGUUGAUGAGGACAAGUGUUCUCAUUCCAGAUCCUUCACAUCUCUGGAAAGCUGCAUCCUCUGUAGAAAAUAGAUCUGUACGUGUGCCAAAGUGUAACUGAUGUUCAUCAGGGUAUGGGGAGGAGGCCACAAAUUCCUUGUCUGUUUCAGCAGUAAUCCUCCCAUUUGGCAGCAGUUUGAGAGGAAGUAUUUAACAAUGGGAUUUUAUAAAAUUCAAUGUAGUAAAGAAUGUUUUUAUAUUCAAAUAGAUCUAAGGAAGUUUUCUUUUUCUCCCUCCACCCCCGUAAGUGGAGGAUGUUUGAGGGUAAUGCUGUCUGAAUUUGUUGGUAGGGUUGGGCUGUUUUAUUGGACCUCGUGGAAUAAUUACUUUUCCAUUCUAUGAUUUCCAUGAAAGGUAAUCUUCAGAAGGAAAAGUUGUAGUCUCUUAACUUCACCCCUGAUCUUAAAUAUUUUGCUUAAGAGGAAUUAGUGAGGAAAUAACAGUCUCUCAGGAAGGUUUAAAACUGAUUUUAUUCAAUAACCAGAGACCUUUUAAUGUCUCCAACUGUGCCAAAACCUGCGAAGUUGCUUUCUUCCACACAUGUACCAGUUAGAGCUGGUAUUUUAAAAAAGCUUUACAAAAUAAUUUCAUGUUGGAAAUAAAAAUUGCGCAAAGUAGAUGAAGAGAUAGUUUUGUCAGCCUCCCCUGUGCAUCCAGACAGAUAAGCUCUCCAAGGGAGCUGCUGAAGACACAAAAGCUUCCUAGGUCGAGCACACCCAUCAGGUAGUGUCACAUGAUUGGUUAGCAGUUGCUGUAGAAAGAGGACCGGUUCUGAGGAACAAAGGUAGAUCUUUUUCCUCCAAGAUCCACAAGGUUUACAAGUCUAGGAUCCAAAUGGUCUAGGUCUUCACUGGCCAGUGACCCACGCCAUCAUCACACAGAGCAGAGGUUACCCUUCUGUGUUGGAAAUGUUUCAGUGUCUGCUAGGAAAUAUGAUACUACCAAUGCACUUUUAAUUAGUACGGUCUGUCUAGGCUUUGUUCACCUCUGGUCUUUAAAAAAUUAACUUUAAGGAGAUUUGCUUCAUACAAGAUCAUCAUAACAUCAUAAAUUCUUCCUUUUGGUUAGGAACAUUAAGUUACAUCCAUGUUGAAUGACAGCCCCACUAAUCGGUUAUCCAACCAAUGUUGGAUUUCAGAGAACUCAUUACUAACAUCAUGUAAAAUGAAUCCCUUCCAUUUACAGUGUUCAUUGAAUCCUUGCCCACAUAAAGACAGGGCAAAGAACAAAGCAGCCUCUUAUUCCAAGGAGUUUAAGAUGAUUUAAAAAAAGAAAGAAAGAAAAACACAGAAAUGGUGAUUAUUGGAGAAAGGUCCAAUGGUAGAAGGCCUUUUGAGUUUGGUGUAAGAAUCAGGAAACAGUUCAAAAAGACACAUUUGAACAUAAUCGAAAGACAAGCAUUUCCUGGGCAAGGGAGUCAGUGGAGCAGACUUCAGCCCAGAAGGCUAAAGAGCAUGUGUGAGGGGUGAAGAGCACCCUGGUGGGUCUGUGGCUGUGCAAGUCAGUGUGAGAAGACCGUGGACAGAAUUGCUGGGAAUGCGCCAUCUAAAAGUGAUGCAGAAAGAGCCUCCAGAGGAGCGGUAGGAGGAGAAUGAGACUAGAAGUGCAGAGGGGAGAAGAAGGGGGGAGAACACAACAGUAUCAGCAGCUAUGAAGAGGUGAGGGGCUGUGCCUUGAGUAGGAGAGUUGUUAUCCCUGUGAACAGGAAAGAACAGGUGCAUGUUGGAGUAGAGCUGGACAGGAGUGUGGGAGACAGGAGGUAUUUUAUGAAAUUUGAAGUGAGGUAGGUCACACCUGGAGGGAAUGAAAACAGGGAAGAGGUGGAGGUUUAAAGAAGCUGCUAUAUGUGUAGAAAGAAAAAGCCAGCUGCGAAAGACAUUCUGUGCUUCAUGGAGGGUUGGUUCAGAGUAGUUAGAGGCCACACAUUUUGGGUGGCAUAUUCUGACUAAGUGGCAUGUUCUUGUUUUUUUUUUUGUUUUUUUUUUUUUGCCCCUAGUAUUUAGAAGUCCAAAAACAGGCACAAAGAAAACUAUUGUGCCCUGGAAACCCCACCUGAGGAGGAAAUGUGUCAUUGUUUUGGUAUAUGGUGCACCAUGGCUGUAGAGAGUAAUAUGAUGCUGGUAUUUUGGUAAAUUAUAAACUUAUGUUAUCUAGAAGCAGCAGCUUUCUCCCUGUGGUCUUUAUCAGUACUCCAGAUUCUUUGGUUGUGCCAUGAGCUUAGAAUACUUACAGCCCGCAAGUCAGGCUUGGCUCUGUAGAGUUUGGUGUGCAAUGCUUCCUUUCUGUAACCUGUACCUGACAGUGCUUCAUUAGAAACAGUGGUAUCUGAUUUAUUUGAUGCACUCAGGACUGAGCCAAACCCCAUCGAAUUUUCCAGAUACCUGGAUGAUAGCCCUCAACUAAAACAAUGAAACAAGUAAAAAAAGACAAUUUCUAGGAUGUCUUUCUAUUGCUUGGUUUCUCUGAAGAGAGAAAUGGACUUUAUUUACAGUAAGUUCUUGAUGACCUUGACUCAUGCUUAUAAACCACGUCAAUUCAUGGACUCUCUGCUGAGCACUUUUUCGUUUUGUUUUGUUUUCGAUUUUGGUUUGGGGCUUUGGGAGUUUGAAGGAGCCAUUUCCUUGAUAGCCGUGAUUGUCAAAUCACAUAAUCUUACAUUGUUUUCUAACUGCUAAUCUUCCUAUGACUGAAGUGUGCCUUAAAAGCAGGAAUUAUGCAUGAUACCUCUGUCCUGCACACCAUCCAGCACAGGGCCAAUCAUAAAUCCACAAAUACUUGUGUGAUUUUUAAAUGUAACACAAUUCUUUUAAUGUAGGCUAAAAUCACUUUAGCUUUUGUGGGGAGGAGAGUGGGACCAGUAGUCAUUGGUGUUACUGGGUUUGUCCUUGGCUUUAGUGUCCUUUUUCAAACUCCUCCCUUUUUCACAUGAAUUGCCUUUUGACCCCACUGGUACUUGGUAGGCCUUUCACCUGAAUGUAAAUAUGUCUGUAUGUCUUUCCCUGAGUGAAAGAACUGCCAUAGGAAAUUUCUACUUACGAUUGCCUAACUGUUAAGUUAGAUUUGGCCCAGUGCACGGAUCUGUCAUAGCCCUUUGGAGUCCUGAAUCACUCAUCCAUCAUACUUACUAGCUUCUUUCAUUUUAUGUAAGAUUGAAAAACCCUUUUAUUUAGUUUAGGUGAAGAUACUACUAAAGAUUAACACUGCAGUCAUGCAUAGAAAAUGCCCAGGCAACAACAGAGACAUCAGUGCUGACUCUCAGACCUUCUCCCGGUGGAUAUUUGUUAGUCGGCAGCUCCUUUAUGGCACAUUUGUUCACAGUGGUGAAGCUCCCUGAUUGUAUUACAAUUCAGACUAAAUGUUUUCACAAGGACAUCUUAGAGAUCUGGUCAGAUUCACCUAAACUUUGCCUACCAUAUUUUCUUUGUCCAUCCAAUAACUGUAUAAAAAAGGAAGGAAAUAAAAAAUCAACACCCAUAUUUUAUAAAUACCUACCCGUUUUCUCUCCCAGAGCCUACUCAGAAAAGAUAAUUGCUGAUCCAAGGCAGAGGACCUCAGGCUUUUGUUUAUAGACUUAAUAAAUAUUUAUUGAGCAGUUACCCUAAACCAGACCUUGUGCUUAUAGUUUGGGAUAGCGCUGUGAACAAGUCAGGCGUCCUCCCCAGAAAUGUCUGUUAUUUCUAGGCUUGCAAGAAGGCUGAUUAGUGGGGUGAGUGUAAAGCAGCCAUUGUGAGUGAGUGAUAGACAAGCAGAGCUGGGAAGCAGUGUGCAGAAGUGGGAGCUCUGCAAAUGAAAUGUGGCAUCAAGGUCUAGAUAGAUUGGGAAACUAGUUGAACUAUGUAACAAGCCUUAAGGAACUGAAAUUUGGAUCUGCUUGUUUUCUAAAACAUUUAGUAUUAAUAGACUUUUCAUGCCAGUAAUUCAAGUGCAUACCGGUGGUAGCUCUCACACACUUUGGCACUGUCAUCUGAAGUAAAUGUCUUUGAACUUAAAACUGCCAUAUAAAAAUUUUGAUUUUUUUUUUUUUUUUGCCAUGGGGUAAAAAAAAAAAAAUAGCAGAACAAUGAGUCAAUUUUUUACUACAUUGCCCAAGUCUAAUGUUCUUUAGAGAGUUUUCAGAGAAUUGCUUAUGCAACAUCCAUCUCUCCCACUGUUUCUCCAGAGGGCUUGUGUUAAUCAGUUUCUGAAAGUCCUUCUUUGUUUAGGUGUGUGCAACACCUGGACUGACUUCUCCUGACUUCUGAGUUAACCACACCUCAUCUCAAAAGGACUGUGGGUGGAGAAAAAAAGGCUUAUGGAAGCACUCUUGGAGACAAUGCUCUACCAUCUUCUCAAAGAAUUGUGGAUGUUUGAAAUGUUGCUUUCUUCCGGGAGAUGGGGAUUGUAUGGAAAGGAGGUCACACGUGGCUAACUGAUUUGCCCAGUGGAACAUAGGCCUCCAAUGGCCAUGGGAAGACUGAAGUGGGCAUAGUGACUGCAGUGCCUCUCCAUGUUUCCAUAGCCAGGUAUCCUAGAAUUGGGCUAGAAAAAUGUGAUCCAUCAACCACCACAUCAAGCUUUCGAGCUAAUAGGAAUAAAUCAUACAUUUGGCAUUGUUAAUCUACUUGGAAUCAUUAUUGGGAUUGAGUUUUCAUCCUUUCUUUGAAAGAAUGUUCUGUGGUUGUUAAGAUCUGGCUUUUAAAUUUUCUUUUUACAAUGAGGUGAAAAGGCUCUUUUCUUCAAACCCUAUCUUGAACUAAAAAUCCUUUUUUAAUUCAAACAAAAGUAAAAAAAAAAAAUCUUCAACCCCCUCAUGCUUCAAGUUACAUAUGCUAAUAAUAAGCUCCACUUACUGUUUCUUAUCUGGGGACAAUACAGCCCCACAGGGGUACUUGGAAAUGUGUGCAGACAUUUUUGAUUGUCACCAUAACUGAGGAGUGCCACUUCUGUGAGGCUUUGAGCUAUCUGUUGAACAAGAAAAAGUUUUCACCAAAAUAACAGUAGUGACUGCACCAACAUGUAUUCUUAAAGAUAUUUUACUUUUAGGAAAAAUGAAUUACCUACACUUUUUUUUUUCUUUUAAGAUCGUUUAUUUGAAAGGCUGAGUUAGAGGAGAGAGAGAGCAAGCGAGCUGUCCGCUGGUUUACUCCCUAAAUGGCUGCAACUGCCAGGACUGGGCUAGGCUGAAGCCAGGAGCUUCCUCUGGGUCUCCCAUAUGGGUGCAGGGGCCCAAGCACUUAGGCCAUUGACUGCUUUCCCGGAGCAUUAGCAGGGAGCUGGAUCAGAAGUGGAGCAGGCAGGACUUGAACUGAAACCCAUAUGGGAUGCUGGUACUGCAGGUUGUGGCUAUAACCUGCUAAGCCACAGCACCAGCCCCUAUCCACAUUGUCAAAAUGUCUUUACUUUAACACAUCACUGUAGUAUACUGUCUGGAGGCUUGAGGUCUGAAAUAGCUAAAUGUGGUGAUUUGAAUGAUCUUAAAAAUACAACGAAAGAAUAAAAAUAGACUCCAAACAGACUAGAAAGAUGUAACUUUAGAAUGACUCCAAAUAUUCUGUAAUGUUGAGCUCAUCAAAGGUUUUGUCACCAAAAAGCCAAGUAUAUCCUUUAGAAUGCUUCCUUUGUGGCUCAAAAUGAAAAAUACUGUUUGAACCUCCACAAUGUGUGAGGUAAACCAGUUUAUCCUGUAGUUUGGCACUGCUUAUUGAGAAUUUGACAACAUCUAAGAAUUCAGCAUCUAACUCAGUCACUAGAAAACUGUAAAUUGCUAGCUGUAGUUUAAAGCUUUCAACUAGGCUUAGAUGCUCCUAAAACAAACAAAACAAAACGUCAUUAAAACCACCUUUGAAUUUUUUAAAUAGUCUUAGUAUUACUAGCCCAGCCAUGUUCAUGCAAUGAAAAGGCCAAGUUUCUGCUUGCCUCUCUGUAGCUCUGAUUGCAUCUUGUUAUAGUGUUGUCACUACAGCUGUGCUGGGUCAUUCUUUCCCAUCCCAUUCCACAAAUACGCACUUUGUACAGUCAUAGCCUUGGAAGCAGUGGCAAACAAGGAUGUGCCCACCCUCAUGAAGCUUCUAGUUUUGUAGGGACUGCACUUGUUGCUUUUAUUGCUUUUUUAUUUUUAUUUUUUAUUUAUUUGAAAGGCAGAGUUACAGAGAGAGAGGGAGAGACAGAGAAGAUAGAAAUAUCUUCCAUUCAUUGGCUCACUCCCCAGAUGGCCACAAUGGCUGGCGCUGGGGCGGUCCAAAGCCAAGAGCCAGGAGCUUCUGGGUCUCCCACAUGGGUACAGAGGGCCCAAGCAUUUGGGCCAUCUGCUGCUGCUUUCUGAGGUGCACUAGCAGGGAGCUGGAUCGGAAGUAGAACUGGGUCUCAAACUGGCACCCAUAUGGGAUACUGGGGCUUCAGGUGGCAGCUUUACCCACUAUACCACAGCACCAGCCCCUACAGCUAAAUUUUUGCUUCAGUGAGCCCUUAUAAAUUCUAUGUAAUCUAUUGCAGGUCACUCAGUGGGGUCUUUCUUUCAUAGGUAUUCCAUAAGUAAGGCUGGGCAGUAGCAAGCCUAACUCCUAUGAUAGCAAUAGCAUUCAUCAUGCUAACUACCACUUAUUACUAAGGGUUCCAUACAUUCCAGAAGCCAUGCCAAGAGCCAAGAGCAAAUAUUGAGGGUCCUUGCAAUGUGCUGAGCACUAAAACUUUUGCUUAUAUUCAUCCUUGUAAUUAAAUAACAGGCAUGAAAUUAUUUUUCAGGUGAGGAUUAUGAGGUGAAAGAGAAUAAGAAAACCACCUAAGGUUAUGCCCUAAUGCUGGGAUUCCAAAGGUGGCAGUGUGGCACUAGAGAUUUUCUUUUGAUCCUGAAAUGAACCAAGUAUAUCUAGUUAGAAAUUAUGAUCCCAGUUUUCCCAAGGUGGAACCUGAAGUUGAAAUUGUUAAGAAAAUGUCAGUAGAUGUGUUUACAAAUAUUCCAUUUCUUCCAGUUCUCUGCUUCUUGCACAUGAAAGCAUUCCAUCUUUCUGUGUCUUCUGAGGUCAGGUGUAGCUGUGUGCCUGCUUUCAUUAAGUACCUAUGGAUAGAUUUACCAGAAAGCUUUCAGAGCCUGUAUACAAUGUGUGCCCUUUCCCCUGUGUUGGUGAAACACCUGAUGAGACGAAGUCUUUGUCCCCCUGUGUGCUGGAAGGACCAUGUUGGAUAGCAUCCCUUCGCUGAUUGCCAUUAGACUGGAAGCAGUAAGCUCCUGAGAUUUGGGACAGGGAUAGGUGAAGGAGAGUGUUUGUAACCAUACAUAAUCUAGCCUAAACUCAACAUGUUGUUUGCCUAAGGAACCUGCCUAAACUCCUGUAACUUAAUGGUAUCACAUAUGUGUGUGGAAUUCAGAAAUCUGACACAACAGGUUGUGUUUUUUAUUAACGUCUAGCUGGGUAUUGCAUGGCCUGUGGGAAUAAAACAGUUCUUUGGCCUUUUAAUUUUAUGUUAUAAUGAAAGUACUUAAAGCAUUCAAUCUGAUGGCCAUGUAGUCCAACAUUAAGAACAUGUAGAAGAAAAGUUUCUUAUUCUCUGGCCAGAGCACUAUAUCUGGAGCUUAAUUUAAUCUGCAGUGUUCUAGUAUCCUUCCCUCCCCCCGCCAAGAUUGAUUGAUUUAUUUGAAGGGCAGUGAGAGAGAUGGAGAGAGAGAGAUCAACCACUGGUUCACUCCACAAAUGACCGCAAGAGCCGGGGGCUGGGCCAAGCCAAAGCCAGGAGCCAGGAACUCCAUUCAGGUCUCCCACAUGGGUGGCAGGGGCACAAGCACUUGGGCCGUCUUCUGCCACCUUCCCAGUUACACCAGCAGGGAGCUAGAUGUGAAGCAUCCCCAACUUGGACCGUGCUCCAGGAUGGUAUGCUGGCAUUGCAAGCAGCAGCUUAACCGCCUGCAUCACAAUGCCAGCCCACUAAUUUUGUUAAUUCUGAGAUUUGUGUUCCAGCAACAGAUGGUCAGCAAUGUUAGUGAAGAAUGCUAAUUUCUCCAUUGCUACUAAACUUUAUGACUGCAAUUAAUGGUUUUUAGGGUGUGAACAGUUUUAUAUACUUCACCCUUCUUUAGGUUAAGAUCAUAGUCAAACACUCUGACUCAGGUCAGACAUUUGGCUUAGAAUUUAUGCUGCUAGUUAGAAUAUCCAAGUCUUGUAUGAGUGCCUGGGUUUAACCCCCACCCACAGCUCCUGAUCCCAGCUUCCUGCUAAUGCUGACCCUGGGAGGUAGCAAAGAUGACUGAAGAAGUUGAGUUCCUGCCAACCCUAUGGGAGGCCUAAACGGAAUUGCUGGCUUUUGGCUUAAGCCUCUGUCUAUGGCUGGCAUUUGGGGGGUGAACCAGUGAAUGGAAACUAGCUUUCUCAAUGUCUUACCUCUCAAAUAAAUACAUUUUUAUUUUUUUGAAGAAAAUCACUUUAUUCUACUCAUAAACAGUAACAUUACAACAGUUUUUUCAAGGAGACCACACAUCUGUCCAGCCCCAAAUUCAAUACCGUCUCAAGGAAUACCAUCCUCUCAGCAAGGAUGCCCUUUUCCAUUGCAUUGCUGGACCAACGAAGCUCUUCAAAAUAGAUGACAGUCAAAUAAAUAAAAUUUUAAAAAGAAAUACUCAGGGGCCAGUGUUGUGGUUUGUUUCAGUCCUGGCUGUUCCACUUCCAGUCCAGCUUCUUGCUGAUGUGCCGGAGAAGGCAGCCAAAGACGGCCCAGGUACUGGGGCCCCUGUCACCCACGUGGGAGAGUCAGAUGGUGUUCAGGCUCCCAGCUUCCAUCUGGGCUAGUCUCAGUCAUUGCAACCAUUUGUUGGAGUGAACCAUCAGAUAGAGAAUCUCUGUCUUUCCCUCUGUCACUCUGCCUUUCAAAUAAAUAAGCCUUUUCAAACUUUUUUUUAAAGAUUUAUUUUAUUUAUUUGUAAGACAGAGUGACAGAGAGAGGUGGAGACAGAGUGGUCUUCCAUCCGCUGGUUCACUCCCCGGAUGGCUGCAAAGGCCGGAGCUGAGCUGAUCCGAAGCUGGGAACCAGGAGCUUCUUCUGGGUCUCCCACGUGGGUGCAGGGUCCCAAGGACUUGGGCCAUCUUCUACUGCUUUCCCAGUCCAUAGCAGAGAGCUGGAUCGGAAGAGAAGCAGCUGGGACUAGAACUGGUGCCAAUAUGGGAUGCCAGCACUUCAGGCCAGGGCUUUAACCCACUGCGCCACAGCACCGGCCCCAAGCCUUUUUUAAAAAAUAAGAAACACUGUAAAAUAGUUCCAGCACAUGUAUACACACACACAGUGUUAAGUUAUUCAAGUCCUCAUGUUGAAUUCAGAAUUGUGAGAAUUUCCAAAGCCAUUAGCUGAGUACAUUCAACAAUUUGGCAGUAUAGCACUGUCUACCAAGGCAAUGCAUAACACAGAGCCACAUUAAAUUUUGAACAUCUUUCCUGAGCAUGAUCUUCCUGAAAUUUCAAUGGAUGAAAGACUAUGCAAACCCUACCCUUUGCAUUAUUUGAUUAUUUAAUGACUUAUGUCAUUACUCAUGUACCAUAGGAGAAAAAAGAGCAGGCAAUAGCUCCUUAACUAGCAGAAUUUUAUGGUUUUUAUUUGUUUCUAAAUAAAGUCAUGAAAUUUGACACUGAUUAACUCUGUAAGGUUACUUUAGUUGCUUAAUCACAAAAUUCCUAAUCCUUCAUUCAAUAACUUAAAAAUUCUUCUAAAAUUGUUCAUAAUCCUGCCUAAUUCCAGUGAUAACUAGAGGCAACUGCUGUGUAUAUCUUUUUUAAAGAUUUAUUUAUUUAUUUGAAAGAACUACAGAGAGGCAGAUGCAGAGAGAGAGAGAGAGAGAGAGAGAGAGAGGUCUUCCUCCACUGGUUCACUCCCCUGAUGGCCACAUCAGCCAGAGCUGUGCCAAUCCGAAGCCAGGAGCCAGGAGCUUCUUCUGGGUCUCCCACAGGCAUGCAGGGGCCCAAGGACCUGGGCCAUCCUCCACUGCUUUCCCAGGCCAUUGCAGAGAGCUGGAUCAGAAGUGGAGCAGCCAGGACUAGAACUGGCGCCCAUAUGGGAUGCCGGCACUGCAGGCAAUGGCUUCACCCGCUACGCCACAGUGCUGGCCUGGCCAUGUAUAUCUUCAACGUUGGAAAAUACUUGUUCAGUAAUACUGAGCUAACAUUUCUGGGAUGAUCUAUACAAUGAAUACAUCAUAUAUGUUGGGUUUAAUUUUUGUUUUGAAACAUUAUAGAUGUAUAGGAUGUUGCAAAAAUAUAUUGGAGAGUUCCUUUCACAUGAUUUUCCCCAGUGGUUGGUUACAGCUUACAAAGUUAGAGUCACAGUACCAAAACCAGGAAACUGGCAUUGGUAUAAUGUGUGUGUGGUUCUACACUAUUAGCUUAUAGACUUCUGCAGUCACUGCUGCAGUUAAUAUACAGACUGUUGCAUUGCCACAAAGAUCUGUCUAUCCCUCUGGUCACACACCCUUCUUCAGCCCUCAGCUUCCUUCUGCUAUCCCUAAUUGCUGGCAACCACCAACCCAUUCAUCUUUAUGAUUUUCUUCAUUUCAAGAAUACUCUAUAAAAAGUAUUUUAAUAGAUGAAUUUUCAGUUGUUUUCCAUGUUUUAAUUAGAAGUUCAAACACAAAAUCUUAUAGAUGUAAAACAUACCAAGAUUAUGCUUAUUAAAUGGUGAUUAAUUUAUAAUUUUAUCUUGCAAUAUUUCAAUCAUCUUUUUUUGCAAUUAAACACAUAUUAAACUUUUCUACAUUGUAGAAGAUGAAGACUUUCUUAACUUGAACAGCACCAGCAUUUUCUGUUGGUAAGCAACUAGCAAAUAAAGCUUAGAUGAAAAUUACACAGCUCCAAAGAAAUGUGGUUCUUCCAGUAGGCCCUGUGUUUGAUCUAAGUCCCAAGUAAUUACAGUAAGCCCUUUGGUUCUGCUGCUGUUCUGAGAAUGAGGAUUUGAUACAAAUCCAAAUAGUACAAGUUUUCAUUUUAAAAAAUUGAUAAUCCAUUUGGAACAAUAUGGUUAUCCACUAUUUUGAGCUUACUUGGAUGUAUAUAUUAUGUAGGAUAAUUUUACAGAGACAAAUUCCUAUAAAUAUAUUCACUGCUAUCUUAAUUAGAAAUAAUUUAUGGCUCUCCAUAAGUGACAAGUCUUUCAUGUUGAGUGAAUAAACCAGUGAUUAGGUCACGAGACUAUUGUUAGGAACAUGUAGGCAGACAGCUGACAAAUGAAUUGUUAUCUUGCCUAAGGAGGAGAAAAAAACACUAAGGUAAAAUUAAAAUGCCAAUACAAGCUGAUAGAAGACAUGUAACAUUUUGUGCACUGAUGAUACUCAAAUUAAACAAUGGAAUGUACUAAUAAGUAUACUGUAGAUUUUAUUUAAAAAAUGGAUUAGAGGGGCCGGCACCCUGGCUCACUUGGUUAAUCCUCCACCUGCAGUGCCGGCAUCCCAUAUGGGCGCCGGGUUCUAGUCCCGGUUGCUCCUCUUCCAGUCUAGCUCUUUGCUGUGGCCCGGGGGUGCAGUGGAGGAUGGCCCAAGUCCUUGGGCCCUGCACCUGUAUGGGAGACCAGGAGGAAGCACCUGGCUCCUGGCUUCGGAUCGGCACAGCGUGCUGGCCAUAGUGGCCAUUUGAGGGGUGAACCAAUGGAAGGAAGAUCUUUCUCUCUCUCUCUCUCUCACUAUCUAACUCUGCCUGUUUAAAAAAAAAAAUGGAUUAGAGCAGGGGGUAGAAAGACAGGAAAAGAAUCUAGGCUUGAUCCACUGAAACUAUUGAACUAUUUAUAUUAAAUCAGACCCCUAGAAAAGGCUAAACUUUAUGAAGCUCAAAUGUUUAGCUAUAUUUUCAAAUGUGCAUUAAUAAAUACUGAAUGGCUAUAUAAGAUGAAUUAUAUUUUACCCAAUAGCUUGUCACAUAUCUUAAGCACUGCCAUAAGAAUCAUCCAUUUAGAGGGAGGAUUUGAGUGACAAGCAACACACCUCUGUUUUCUGUCCUGUUCUACACUACAUUUUUAUUUUCAGUAAUAUAAAGAUAUUGUUGGAGUUAGGAUUUUUAAAAUGAAGCAAGAUAGAGAAUUAACAGUAGAUGAAUCAAAGUCCAGGUAAAAUUUCAGGAUAGAAGGAUGGGCAGGGAUAGAUAUAAUGACAUUGAAUUGGUGUAAAUGUUCAAGUCCAGCCUUUGGAAAAGGACUUCACAGAGGAUGUGUUACUUGGGCCCAUCACAUGUAGAAAAAGACUUAGGACUUUUCCUAACUUCAACCUGUGUGGCCCAGGGAAUGACUUGAUGGUUCAAAAAACCUAACACAAUCUAAAAAUACAUGUGUAUGUAUAAUUAUAUAAUUUUCAGAGCAGCACAACAAAUUGUCCUACUGUAUUUUAUGUUGGUCAGAUUUUUUUUUAAGAUUUAUUUAUUUAUUUUAAAGAGUUACAGAGUGGAGAGACAGAGAUAUUUCUUCCAUCUGCUGGUUCACUCUCCAAAUGGCCACAUGGCCAGGGCUGUGUCAGGCUGAAGCCUGGAGCCAGGAGCUUUUUCUGAGUCUCCCACAUGGGUUCAGGGGCCCAAGGAGUUGGGCCAUCUUCCGCUGCUUUCCCAGGUGCAUUAGCAAGGAGCUGAAUCAGAAGCAGAGCAGCCAGGACUGGAACUGGCACUGUAUGGGAUGCUGGUACUGUAUACUGCAGCUUAACCUGCUGUGCCACAGUGCUGGCUCUUUUAUUGGUUAGAUUUUUAUGUAGUUCUGUGUCAAUUACUGUACAAUAGAGAUAGAAGUAAGGUGUCUAAAUUUGAUGAAGAGAAUUAAACAUGUAUAUUGAAAACUGGAGUAUGGUAUGGCUUGUCUUUGAAGAUCAUGCUGAAAUUUAAUCCUCAUGAAUGUGGAGGGUAGAAACUUAAUACAGUCUCUGUGUUUAAGGGUGGGAUCUUUGAGAGCUGAUUCGGAUCAGAGUGGAGCCCCCAUGUGCCGUCUCUGUUGCUCACCAUAUGAUGCCCUGAGCCACCUUAGGACUCUGCCAGCCAGAAUGUAUCACUAGAUGCAGCCAUUGCCUCCGUACCUGAACCAUAAGCCAAAGUAAACCUCUUUUCUUUAUAACUUACCCAGUUUGUGGUAUUAUGUUGCCAACAUCAGAAAAUGAACAAAGAAAAUUAGUACUGAAUUGUUGGCUUUUGUGAAUACUGAAUACCUAAAAAUGUGGAGGUUGUUUUGGAACUGGAUAAUUCUGAGGGCUCAGAAGUUCCAAGACUAUGGAAGAACUAGAACAUCUUAGAGAUGGGAUUGAUGGUCAUGAACAGACAGCUGAUGCAAACGAGGACUCUUCUACUGGAAACUGGAGGAAAGACCGUCCCAUCACACCUCUGCAAAGAGCUUAGCUGACUGUGCCCAUGCCCUAGAGAAUUAUGGAAGGCCAAAUUAAAAGGGAUGGCUGUUAGAGGAAAUAUCCAAACAACAAAGCAUUCAGACUGCUGCUUAGUUACUUCUAACUCGUGCAGUAGGAUUGGGGAGCAAUGGCAUGACCUAAAAGCAGGAUGCAGAAUUGAAAGGGAAGCAGAGUAGAAAGAUUUGAAAAACUUGUAUCCUAGUGAAAAAGUGUGUUCAGGAGAACCAAAUAAGGAUGCAGCCCAGCAACCACUUAGUAAGGAAAUGAGCACGGAUAAAAGGGAGCCAGCUGGUGGUCACCAAGACAAUGGGGAAAAGGCCUCAAGCACAUCUCAGAAAUCAUUGAGGUUUCCCUCUCAUCGCAAGCCCGGAAGUCUGGAAGGGAAGAAUUUUUAGGGAACCCUGGAGUGCUCCUCAAGGGGCUCACUGCCCAGAGCUGCCUGAGGAUUCUGCUCCCAGCUUUGUGAUGAAGCACUCUGUGGCUGCUCCAGCAGUCAUGCUCCAGCAAGUGCGGCUGGGUGCAGCUUAUGCCACUGACUCAAAGGGAACCCAGUGCUAGCCCUUGGUACUGAAUGCAGGUGAACAGAAAGCAAAAUCUGCCGGAUCUGGGAAGCUUCUGCUGAGAUUUUGAAGACAAGGCUGACUCAGGGAAGGAAUCAUUGCAGAGAUUCUACACUGGAAAGCCUACUAGAGCCAUGGGAGUGAGACCAGUGCUGUUGAGAUCCCGGGAAGGUAGAGUCGCUGACAGCGUGCAAUGCCAGACUGGAAAAGCCACAGAUACAGGCAACCUGGGAGAGCAGCUAUCUGGGCUGUGAGCAGCAGAGCCUUGGAGACAAGGCUGCCUCUGGCCGUGGGGGCCCACCUCCUGCUACAGUGUACCUAAGGUUCUGGAUCUAGAGCUUAAGAUUUAACGUCUGCCCUGCUGGAUUUCUGCCUCGCUUGGACAUUUUAUUCCUUUUACUUCUCCCUUUUGGAAUAGGAAUGUUUGUUCUAUCCCUGCCUUACCAUUGCAUCAUAGAAACAGAUAACUUUUCUGAUUUUCCAGACUCACUGCUAGAAGGAGUUUGCCUUGAAUCUGACAUGAGACUUUGGACUUGAGGCUUUCAGUUGGUGCUGGAAUGUGUUAAGACUUUGGAACUAUCUGGAUGGAAUGCUUGUAUUUUGUAUAUGAGAAGGACAUGAGUUUCAGGGUACCAGGAGCAGAAUACUAUGGUUUAAAUAUGAUUUGCCCCGCUCUGAAAUUCAUGUUCAAACUUAAUCCUCAUUGUGAGGUAUUAAGAGCAUGGACACUUAAUCCCACUGUGGUGGUCUGAGUUGGGGCUUUCGAGAGCUGAAUAAUUAGGAUUAGGUAAGAGCACCAGGGUUCAGCCCCCAUGAUUAAAUCCUGGUGGCUAUAAGAAGAGGGAGACAGACCUUUCACACAUGCAUGCCCUGUCUCUUGCCAUGUGAUACCCUGCACCAUCUUGGGAUUAGACUGUCACCAAAUGUGGCUCCUGGAUCUUGUUCCAGACCAUGAACAAAAAAUAAACCUUUCUUUCUUUAUGAUAUACCCAGUUCAUGUAUCACAUUAGCAACAGAAAUGAAGUAAGAUGGAUUGCAUUACUUUCUUCGAAUAAUGAAAGACUAGAGCAAGGAUAAUGGCUUAGACUUGAACAUUGCCUCUACCUCAAAGUGUGUAACUUGGAGCAGAGUCAAAGAUAUACAGAAGGAGAAUUCAACACAAAAUAAGCAGGACCUCUUUAGCCAUAUUUGGAGAUCCAAAGAUCAAACAGACUUAUUUCUAGGUAAUGAGUACCACAUCACUGGAGAUACUCAACCAAGGUAUGUGUCACAGCUACUAUCUAUGCAAUGCAAAUGCUACAUUUCCUUCAGUCCUGACAUGUUACUAAAUGGGUAUUACAAACCUCAGGUUUACAACAUUUACCAACUUUGGGAAUCACCUUCUGUGGGCCUGUUUCCUCCUGUUCAAUAGACUGUGGGGUGAUGCUAACUUAGAAAGCUGUUGGAAAUAUUAAAUGAGGUUGAAGAACAAUAGCAGUAGCCUGAUUCCAAAUCCCCCCCUCAUAUUCCCAAAGCAACCAUAGAUCCACCUUGAGAACAAAACUAUCCAGGACCUAUUAUGUAAGUAUUACUAGACAGAAAACUUGAAACUUUCAAGCCAUUUAUAAGGAAAAAAAAAGAAACUCAAACAAAGCUUCCGGUAUCUACAUAUUUUGCAUGUGGAAGGGUGCUGGAGAAACAGAAAUGACUCCUAGAACCAGAGCAGAGUGGGGCAGAGGACUUAGAGUAAGUGGGGAUGACAUCACCUCCAGUAGGAGGAAGUCAGAUAGUUCACACGAACCUAUCAAAUUCAAGUUGAGAUUGGGUCAUUCAUAGCCCUGGCUACAGGGAAAGGACUUGAAAGUGUGCUGGACUGAAGUGGCAGCUCUUUAGAAGCAGUGAUUCUAGGCGGGGAGGGGAUGAGAGAGACUAAGCUGUACCAGAUGGAUACUGAGUGAUGAAGGGAAAGAAAGGAAGAAAGCAAAGGAGAAAGUGAAGAGCCUGCUGAGCGGCUGGUGCUGUGACGUAGUAGGUUAAGCCUCCGCCUGCAAUACCGGCAUCCCAUGUGGGUGCUGGUUCCUCUCCCUGCUGCUAGUUUUCCCAUCCAGCUCUCUGCUUUGGACCAGGAAAGCAGCAGAAGAUGGCCCAAGUGCUUGGGCCCCUGCAAUCACAUGGAAGAAUCUCCUGGCUCUUGGCUUCAGAUCAGUCCAGCUCCUGCCUUUGCAACCAUUUGGGGAGUGAACCAGCAGAUGAAAGAUAUUUCUGUCUGUCUUUCUCUCUGAAUAACUCUACCUCUCAUAUAAAUAAACAAAAUCUUAAAAAAAAGAACCUGCUGAAUAAAAUUAGUUGAUUGUGUCAAUGUCAAUUUCAUGUUUGUGAUAUUGUACUGUAGGAUUGGAAGAUGCUACCCUUAAGAGAUCUGUGGAAUCUCUAGUUCUUACAAUUUCACGUGAGUCAUAAAUUAUCUCAAAGUUUAAAAAUUUAUAUAAAAAUGAAGUAGGAUUGUUGAUUCCAUUUUCAUGAAGAUCAAAACCCAACAAAAUUAAACUUGUUUAGAAAUAUACAACUAAAGAAAAUUUAUUGCAAUAAAGCUCAAUUUAAUGGUUUCCUCUACAAUGGGAGGAAGAGUCACAGUGAAGAAGUGGUGUGUGUGUGUGUGUGUGUGUGUGUGAUGCACCUGACAUUUGUGGUGGUUAUAUUUUGUUUACUUUAAAAUAAUUCAUCAAACUGUCAUUUAAGUUUUUAAAACUUUACAGGAAGAGGUGCUGACCUACAGGCCAUAGUUUGUUGACCCCUCUUCUAGAACACAAAGAAAACUUCAUAGUAGGUUCCAUAAAGUAGAUGUGUUACCAAAAAACAAACCAACAACAAAACAGACUUGACUACAAUGUAGUAAAACUGAAAAUUAAAAAAUAAACCAAAAAAUGAAGAAUCCUCCACCAGGAAAUUAAAAGAUGUUGUAUUAAUUUCCAAGUUAAAAAGUAAUAAAUAAAAUUACUGAAUUGCUGAAAAGUAACAUUAUAUAUGAGAAGUCAUGGGAUAUAUUUAAAGGAAAGCAUAUGUAACUACAUCUAUAGCAAUAAAGCAUGAAUAAAGAUAAAUGAAUUAGUUUUGCAACUCAAAAUACUAAAUAAGGUACAAGUAAAUAAAGUACAAGGUAGGAAUUAUUUAUAGUGGAAAUUAUAAUGAAGUUGAGAAUAGGGAAGCACUGGGUCAAAUUGAUCAAAAUUCUAAUUCUUCAGAAAAUAAACAAAAAUAGACAAACCACUAGAUAAUAAAGGGAGAAGAAAACACCAAUGUACAAAAUAAGAAAUUACCUAGAAAUAGUUAUGAUAGAAAAGGAAUUUUUAAAAGUAAUAAACAACUUUUGCAUAAUUUCUGCAAACAAGUUGGACAUAUAAUUUCUUAGAUAACUAUUCCAUAAUAAAACUGUUCUCAGUAGAUAAAGCUUAAAUUUUUAUAGAAAUAGAAAAUGUUUUCUAGCUAUGCUACAUGAUAGCACCAGGCCCAGGUGAUCACACAAGAGAAAUUUACCAAACCUGUAGAUAUCAGACAAUCCCAAUGCUACAUAAAUUAUCUCAGACUAAAAUCAAGAAUAAUGUUCAUCUUAUGAAGCAAGCAUAAUACUGGUAUCCAAACCUGAUAAAGUCAGUAUAAAAAUUAUUUAAUGAAGUACUAGAAAACAGACUAUGACAACACAUUAAAAAAAGAGAUGAGGGGCCUGAGCUAAGGCACAGUGGUAAAAGCGGUCACCUGCAGUGCCUAUAUCACAUAUGGGCACCGGUUUGAGUCCCGGUUGCUCCAUUUCCGAUCCAGCUCUCUGCUGUGGCCUGGGACAGCAGUAGAAAAUGGCCCAAGCCCUUGGGCCCCUUCACCCGCAUGGGAGACCUGGGAGAAGCUCCAGGCUCCUGGCUUUGGAUCAGCGCAGCUCUGGCUGUUGCAGUCAACUGGGGAGUGAACCAGCAAAUGGAAGACCUCUCUCUCUCUUUGCCUAUCCUCAAAUAAAUAAAUAAAUCUUUUUUUAAAGAUUUAAAUCUUUUU
Oryctolagus cuniculus (rabbit) is the source of this 46118-nucleotide non-coding RNA. Lineage: Eukaryota; Metazoa; Chordata; Mammalia; Lagomorpha; Leporidae. The record is from RefSeq and is a predicted model, not a curated record.